RNAcentral lists this long non-coding RNA (83624 nucleotides) under Gossypium barbadense (sea-island cotton). RNAcentral's name for it is "long non-coding RNA (GBAR_LNC015207)". The stretch from base 58254 to 58383 matches the Rfam family "MIR7502 microRNA precursor family". The record is from RNAcentral. Lineage: Eukaryota; Viridiplantae; Streptophyta; Magnoliopsida; Malvales; Malvaceae.
CCUCCUGAGGCCUCCAUUACUGUCCGCCCCUGAUUCCUUGCAGGCUCAACUAAUUAAUUAACUGGCAAUUAAUAAGUGAUAUAGUUUGUUUCUUAACUUCUACACCGGGCAUUUCAUCUGCAAAGAGGGAGGAUGGAGAAAAUGGUUAACUUUGGGUUCAAAUGUUAUUUGAAUGAUAAAAUGUUUGAUUUCUGUAAUUUUUUUGCAGAAAUUAUGGACUUUGGCUACCCUCAAAAUCUUUCUCCUGAAAUUUUAAAGCUUUACAUUACUCAAGAAGGAGUGCGGUCCCCCUUUUCAUCCAAGGUUUGUUGUAUUUUAUGCAUUACAGAUUAUUUUUGUUGAGGUUUGGUGUAUGUAAGCAAUACUUGUUUUCCAGCUGUAGGUUUUUUUUGUGCUUUAACUUUAAUGUAAAGUUGCAUUCUCUUACCGUUUGAUUUUCCAUGUGUAACAAAUUAAUAGGCUUCAGAUAAGCCUAUCCCAAAUGCAACAUUACAAGUUACAGGAGCUGUUGGCUGGCGAAGAGAGGGACUUGUUUAUAAAAAGAAUGAGGUAAUCUUGCUUCUGAGUUCUGUCAAAUUCCUUUUUCUAUAGGAUGUGGUGGUUCCUAUGGUUUAAAAUCUGUUUGUUUCAGGUGUUUCUAGACAUUGUGGAAAGUGUAAACUUACUUAUGUCUUCAAAAGGUUGGUUAUAGUUUUGAAACUGGUUUUGUUUGUUGGUGUCUGUUUUGCUGAAAAUUAACCAUUUGGUGAUUCCAGGCAGUGUUCUCCGUUGUGAUGUCACUGGCAAGAUUCUUAUGAAGUGCUUCCUCUCUGGAAUGCCUGAUCUGAAAUUGGGCUUGAAUGAUAAAAUUGGGCUUGAGAAAGAAUCACAAAUGAAAUCCCGUCCUGCUAAAAGGUGACUUCUACUUGCAUUAACAUUGCAUCUUAUGCUUCCUUACUUUGUUAAUAUACCAUCUUAUUGUCUUCUUUCUGGUCCAUUUUGCAAUUUUUGUGAUGAAGUUUUGAUCUUUCAUGUGAGCUUAUAUUGCAUUUGCAUGUAAGUUUGUUAAUAAUUUCCAUUUCUAACAAUGCUACAUAUUGCAGUGGCAAGACUAUUGAGCUGGAUGAUGUUACUUUCCAUCAAUGUGUAAAUCUUACAAGAUUCAACUCUGAAAAGACUGUUAGUUUUGUGCCACCAGAUGGUGAAUUUGAAUUAAUGAAGUAAGCUUAGGAGUCUUUUCCUUUAUUUACUUAAUUACUUUGUGGUUUAAGUUCACUUAUAUGGUAUGCAACUUCAGUUGUAGCCAAGUUUUGUUACUUUAUUUUGUGGUUUAUGUUCUAAAGUAUGCAACUUCUGUUAUAGCUAAAUUUUUAUUUUAUAUCUUGCUUCUUAAACUACCAAUCUGCAUUCUGAUUGUGUUGUUAGAAUGCUUCUGUUACCCAUAGGUGCCGUUAGAACCUAGAAACCAGGAGAUAUAUUGUGAAAAUGAAUGACUUAAUGCUUUAUGGUGAUGAACUGUCUCAAGUUUCCAAUGAUUCUACAAUAUAUUAUUUGUUUGUAUAUGCUUGUUCAAUUUUCUUUUGAAUUGAUGAAUGCAUAGGUACCGUAUCACUGAGGGAGUUAAUCUUCCUUUUCGGGUAUUACCAACAAUCAAGGAACUUGGUCGAACACGGAUGGAAGUAAAUGUUAAGGUUUGUAAUCAUACAUUUUGAUAUUGGCUAUACUUGGAAGUUCAUGAUUCUGCUAUUGGCUUAUUUCUUAGAAUAUUUCAGGUUAAAAGUGUCUUUGGAGCAAAAAUGUUUGCUCUUGGAGUUGUUGUCAAAAUUCCUGUCCCUAAACAAACAGCAAAGACAAGUUUCCAAGUAACAUCAGGUCGAGCAAAGUACAAUGCGGCUAUUGAUUGCUUGGUAUGGAAGUAAGUAUUCUAGUUUGUUAACUGGUGCAUGUUUUCCAAAUGCUACAUUAAUAUCAAGAAUCUGGUGGCUGGCUUUUCUUCUCAUCCUAAAGUGGAUGAGUCAAAAGCUUUGUUUGUGUUCCAGCACUAUGCCACUAUCCACAACUCUGAUCUUGGACCCUGCACCCAUCUGGUUGACGAUAAAGCCCAAUGAGUUUAUCCUUUGUAGUCGUAGAUUCACUCUACUUUGGUCUAUCUUUAGAUUAAGUUCAGUAAUUGUUUAAUGUCAUUUUCAUCCGACUUUUUAGGAUAAGAAAAUUCCCCGGACAAACAGAGCCAACCUUGAGUGCAGAAGUUGAGUUAAUUUCCACCAUGGCAGAAAAGAAGUCUUGGACAAAGCCACCAAUUCAGAUGGAAUUUCAGGUGCCUCAAUUAAAUACCAUUUUACUAAUUAAUAUUUUUUAAGUCACUUUUGCUCUGUUUCAUCACAAUAUCUUUUCUUUGAAAAUGUAGAAAAAAUAGGGUAAACUAUGGUAGGGGUCACCCAACUAUUACUAAAUUUCUUUUUUGGUCACCCAACCAUGAAAAGUUACAAAAUAGUCAUCCAACUAUUCAAUUUUGUCUUUUCUGGUCAUCAGCUGGCUAAAGUAAAAAUCGAAACACCCAAAAAUCCAAGGACAAAAUUGAAUAGUUAAGUGACCAUUUUAUAAUUUUUUAUAGUUGGGUGACCAACAAAGAAAAAAAAAACCAUAGUUGGGUGACUACUAAUGUAGUUUACCCAAAGAAAAUAUUACUUAAAAUUAUUGUCCUAGUUUGUUACAAUAGAAAUCAAAUUAUAACGCUUGUUGGUGCUUUGAAUUUCAUCAUAUUCUAGAUGUGCAGAAAAUUGAGAAUUUUGAGGACCGGGGGGGGGGGGGCUUGGAAUAUAGUUGGAUGAUCUAUUCGUAAAGAAUCAAUUUAAGGUUCUAUUUGUUAUUUGUAUUUCACGAAAAUGGCAAAGAAUAUUAGUUUCGGGUAACUUAAGCAAUGGUUUAUUGACACGUUAGCAUGCAUAUAGAAAAGCAAAAUACAUCUGUAAUGUAUUUGAAUUCUUGUCUCAGGUUCCGAUGUUUACAGCCUCUGGUUUACGGGUCCGGUUUCUUAAAGUAAGCAUUCUUAUGUAUUCUGAAUGCAUAUGUGAUUAUUUUUUAUGCAGUCUUUUGAUGUUGAAAUUAUCCUUGUUUUGCAGGUGUGGGAGAAGAGUGGGUAUAACACAGUCGAGUGGGUUCGCUAUAUUACCAAGGCUGGCUCAUAUGAGAUCAGGUGCUAGAAACACAGGAUUCCCCGUUGGCUCGUAUCAGCAAACUUGAAUAGUGAAGAGUGUGUUCGCUUGCUACCGAUUGCAUGUAUUUUGCCGUGAUGGUAAGGUGAAUAAGCCUCAAUUUCCAACUUAAAGCAUGCAGCCAUCCUUUUGCUCUGGUUUCUUGAAUUAUUUGGCAUUUUUUUCCCCUUGUAGUGUUUUUGUUAAUAUGUUUAUUUCAAGUGACUAUUUGGUUUAUGUUGUUUUCUUGUAAAGGCUAACCUUAUUUAGAACAAAAUGUGCCAUUAUAAUACAAUGCUUUAUUGUUUGCAUAUUAGAACACACAUUUUGUUCUAAAUGAUACAUCAUUGUUUUUAAAUGGCAUAUUUGCUAUUGGAAACCUUGUUGGAAUUGGUUUUGACUUUUAAGGUUUAUUAUUAUGAUAUUUGGAAGUCAGGCAAGUAGCCCUCAAGUAUUGUUUCUAAGUGUCAAAGAUGACACAACCAUCACAUCUAUCACACUGAAUUUUUGGUAGGUCGGAUUGGUUUUAGAUUAGGUUAAUUUGGGUUGAGUUAAAUUCGAGUUUUUAGAAUUUUAGGUGAUUUUCUGUUUAGUUCAUGUGGUUUGAAUUAUUAUAGUAAAUAAGAUAAAAAGGCACAGUUAAAAGGAAUAAUCUUUAACAUACCAUUACGAUCCAGCAUAAUGGAGAAAUUUUUUUUUAAAUGAAUCAUUAAAAUAUUCAUAAAAAUAAAAAAUUAGUUUAAUCGUUAGUAAUCGGUUUGCAAGUCAAUUGGUUUGAUUUUUUUUCAGAUUGGUACUUCGGUUGGUUCUCGGUUCGAUUAGCCAACAACUUUGCUUCCAAUUAUUUUCUUGGAGACUCAAACCUGGUGAAGGGGUGUUAAUGAGAUAUUAGUACUCACAAGCUACUCAAAUUUGACUCGAAAAAUUUUGAACUUGAUUUAGUAAUUAUUGAGUUGAGCUUGAGUUAUUGAUUUAGCCGAAUUCGAAUUUAGUAAUACUUGACUCGAACGACUUAUGAGCCUUAUCAAGUUUUUCAUAUUUUUAUACUAUUAAAUUUUGCUAUUUCUGUUAAUAUAUAUUAUUAACUCUAAGCUUAUCGAGUUGAGAUCAAGUUCAAGCUUUAAGUACAAAAAUUGGUAAAUAAAUUUAAUCGAGCUUGAGCUAAGUAUUGAGCUCAAACUUGAGCUAAGUAUUGAGCUCAAACUUGAGCUUGAGCUUGACAGUAUUUAAGCUCGGCUUGGCUUGACCACACCCCUAUCUGGAUGAGUUUUAUGAGGUGAAAAUCCCUUAAUCACCAGAUCAGAAGCUCAAUAAAAAGAAUUAUAAUCCAAAAGAAGUCGUUCUAGUGACAAUAAUUAAAUAUCACUCUAAUUACAUCACAUUAUUCAACAAAAAUACUUUAAAUCUAAUUACAGGGCCACCGAUCUGUUGUUAGUGUGCGUGUAAAUGGCUGUGGCUUGGUUAGGCACUACUAAUUGGGUACGGCUGUUCGUCUGGGUUCGUGCUGUGCAAAAGUAUGUGGUGAAGGGGGUCUUGGUCGAGUGUGGGCGGUGGCCUGCUGGGAUGUUCUCAUUGCUGUGUUUUGGCUUGUUUCCUUCUACUUGGUUUUAAAGACUGAUAAUAUUUAUUAAAACAAAAUGGUCCACACAAUUUUAGCUAUUUUGAGUUAAAACAAGUCUUGUAUUGCAGGCCGAGUAACUCUUUAAUUUUCAUUCAUAUCUGUGUGACUCCAAUAAGGUCUUUGAAUGUGAUUAGUGCUCGGGAGAAAGGUGUCAACAGCACCACCAUUCGAUAACAUACAUAUUGCUUACUAAUUACUGUUCCAUGACAGAUGUAGGUUGUUGAACAGUCCGUUGAUUCUUUAAGUAUUCUCUGUUUUAAUUUAUUAAAUCUCAUCAUUUUAGUUCAUUGGAUAGAAUUAUGAUAACAUUGUUGAUGUGUGAAUCUAACGAGGCAGAAAAGGAGGUGAGGAUGGGUGAUUCACUUAAUUUAGGACAAGGCGAACGUGGUUAUUGGAGGAGGUUGAAGAAGGAUGACGUCUAAGGAGAGAGAAGAGAGAGACUAGUCUCUAAGGACUGUGAAUUAAUACCCUUAGUUGCAGUAUUGAGGUGUCACAUGUUGAGUUCUUAUUAGUGAGUCAGAAGCAAGUGAUCAAAUGGUUUGGCACUAUAGAUUUAAGUAGAAUGAUGAAUGUAUGUGCAAAUCACUUCAAAUGAGACACGAUACUUGGAGUCAGAGAUACAAAUUAAUGAGUAGGGUCCACAUGAAUGUUAAGUCGAAGAGUGUUUUCAAUGGGAUGUCCCAAAGGGACAAAUGGGGACUUUCAUGAGUGCUGUACCAAGGAGUGUUUCCAAAGGAUAAGGGUACAACAAAGAUCAAUUUCAAUAUGCGAUUAAAAUGAGAUUGAUAAUUUUUUUUUUAGGAUCACGAUAUUCUCUCCAAUCAAUGAUUAAGGGUUACUAUCUUUAAUGGCACGUUGCUAGUACGUUAGAAUUAGCUCUAAUAUCAAAUGUUGUGAUUCACUUGUAAGGUAUUAUCCACUUAGACUUUAAGUUGCUCAGAUUUCAUAUUUAAAUAUAUGACUCGUUGUUUGAACUUAAGAAAUAAAAAUUCAGCACAAAAAGAAUCCUAGAAAUGCAGGAAUUCAUUUUACAUGUUACAUAUUAAAUCACGUUUUUGUUUUCGUCUCUACUUUCCUUCUCCUCUUAGUUACAAAAGGCAUUGUCCAAUGAAUCCUCCACACAUUUCAUACCUUUGUCCAUGUCAUGUUGACAUUUUAGCUAAUCUGAACAACAAGAUUUGAACUUGUUCCACCUUACAGUAAACAUUUAUGUCUCAAAACCAAUUGUAACACACUAUCAAUUUUGAAAUUCAUGACCCCUCUCCAAUGACAUUAAGAUUCACUAUAAGAAAUGGAUUAAUCCCACACUUCAAUGCUGAAAUCAAAUUUGGUCUCGUGCCACCAAAUCCAAAUGCACAAUGCAAUCUGUAUACGACAUUUUCAAUUUCCAUCCUUUAGGCAAAGCCAACAAAUUUAAACCUAACAAAGUUCAUAGAAUUGAUACAAUACAUAUAUGAAAGUUCAAAGACUUUUGGGUUAUAAUCCUCAUGCUUAAGUGAAUGAUGAUGUUUAGGUUAAAACCUCAACUUGAAGGUAGGCUAUACAACACAAACUGUUCUCCAUCAACAACAUUGGAGGUCUUUGACCUAUGUUUCAUCAUCCGCUUCAUAUGGUUUUUAAUUGAAAAAUAAAAUUCUUUCGAUAUUUUGGGUGUUUUAAGUUCUAACCCUACUGCUCAUUCUCCACAAGUAGAUUUGUUAAUUUUGAUUCGAAUUCGGAAAUUCGAUAUAAUUAAUCUUAAUGUAAAUUUCGACUCAAUUUGAUUAUAGAAAAAAAUUAAUAACUCAAACACAAAAAUAAUUCAAAACUAAAAUUACUUAAAAUAAGUAACCUAAAAUGAUCUAAACUCGAAAUAAUUAGAUAAAAAAACGGAUUUACAAAUUUAAAUCACUCAAAUUCAAAAUUACCUAAAUUCAAAAUAAAAUAAACUUAAAAUGAUUUUAAAAUCUAAAUUGAGUCAGCACAUAUUAAUUCAACUCAAAAUCAAACAGAACCAUCAAUGCACAUGUCUAAGCACAAUUAUUUCCACGUACUAAAUUCUAACUUCAAGGCCAUUCCACACUAAUCGGUAAUUGAGUGUGACAUUUGGUCUAAACGACGGGUCACAUUCCAAUUCCUUUAUUCGAAUUCAAUGUCAUUCAAAUCUAAUACCUAAAAACCAAUAAAAUACAAGGUACAUAAGUACAAUUCUUUAAUGGUUAAAAUUUGUCAUUAGUCCUUGUAUUUUAACAAAUUUUGAGAUUUAAUCCUCAAAAAGCUAAAAAAUAAAUACUAUUAUUUUUUAUUUAAAAAUCUUGGCCUCAUCAUUAAUAUUAUUAGUAUUUUUUGUCAAAAUUUAUUAUUUUACAUGUUUAUUUUUGUCAAUUAUAUGUCACGUUAUAUGAGGGUAACAUGAUCAACUUACCAAAUUGAUAAAUUUUGAUUGAAAAUACUGACGGUCUUAAUGAUUAAACUAGGUUUUUUUGGUAAAAAUUACAAAUGGGGAAAGAGAAUGACAACUACAGUGUUUGAACCCUGUUUUUGAGAUAGCAAUAGGGGGCCUAAACACUGCUUCGUACUAUCGGUGAUUAGGUUUUUUAAACCGAAAAGUCGAGACUUUUUAAGUAUGGGACUAAAUCGAAAAUUAUCCCAAAGUAUAAGACUUAAUGGCUCAUUUUGAUCUUAUUUAAUCUACCUUUUCCCCUUUGCUUUGCUUGUAAAAAUUCCCUCGUUUGUUCCCUCUCUCUAGCCGUUGCUUGGCCUAUUCAACCGGAACUUGUCAAACACUAAAUCUUUCACUUUCACUCCCAAUUAUCAUAUUUUUAUUUAAACCCCAAAACCCCCAUUUUCACAAUUAUAUAAAUGGUUCAUUUAUCUAGCCAUAACACAAUAUCAAGUCCAUAACAUCAUAUAUGUACCAACUACUUUUGAGAAAAUUUUGAGUUAUUAAUAAUUGAUGAUGGAUUGCUUGGUAUUGCCCGUCUCGUUGUUACGAAAACGCAGCGCAGCGUCUCGACAAGGCUACCGGCCUCUAACGAAGGACAGAUACGAUGAAUCGAAUCGACAAGUGAUGGUGGUGGCAGGUAAAGAAAAGAGGGAGUUUUUAGUAGACUCUUUUGUGUUAGAAGAGAGCCCAUUUAGGGUUUUGAUCGACACAAUGAAAAAAGAUUAUGGUGAAAAAAGAGAGAAGAAUGGGAGGGUAAUUUUGGUGGAUGUGGAUGCUAUAUUGUUUGAACACAUGCUUUGGUUGAUGCAAAAUGAUUGUUCUUCUUUGUUUCAACUUAAUCUUGAGGAGAUUAUUGAUUUCUACUCUCAAGAUAAUUAGAAUUAAAAAAAAGUAUGUUGGUUUUACUAUUUUAGUGUUUUUCUCGAUAAUAUUGAUCGUAAUUGAUUACUUGAUUACGAUAUGAUGCAACUGAAAAUGAAUUCUUGUUUACAAUUUAGGGUACAAAUCAUACUAAUUUCUUUGUUGUUCAAUACAUAUUCCGGCAUAAAUAUUUGUUUUGAACAUAUAUGGUAUUGUGAUUACAUAGUUAAUUAGUGUUCACCAAAUCACAAAGAAGACCUUUAAUUGGUUGGUUAAAAUAUUUUAAGUAGUAAUAAGGGGUAUGAAGGAACUUUGACCCCCUUGGUUACAUGUUUUUAGUCUUCCAUUAAAUGAAAUAAUUAUAUUUUUGGCCCUUAUGAAAAGUUAACAAUUUAAUCUAAGCUUUUUUAACACAAUCUUUUUAACUUUGACCCCUUCAAAAUUUUAUAAUUUUAUCUCAUCUUUCCUAACCAAAAUUUUUGGAUUCACCCUUGUGAAUAAAGAAAACAACAUUUAAAAACUCUUUUUUUGGUGUAACGAAAAAAAUAAACUUUACAUUAACUUAAAGCAAAAGGGAUCUUUUGUGGCACUUCUUCGAGUAAAAUCAGUCCUUCCUUUCUAUCAAAAGUCAUUUUAAUUGGUAACGCAAUCAGCAUCCUUAUUUUUCUCUCUAAAAUUUGGCUCUCGACCUAAUUAAAAUUUGUAUUUAAUUAGAACUUAAUUAAUUUGAUUAUCCGAAAUCAAAAAAUAUCAUUAAAAAAACUUAGUUUGAAUCUUUCAAGCUAAUAAAAUCACAGUUCGGCUUGAUUGAUAUGUAAACUUUGUUUUAUUGUUUGCCGGCAUGUAAAGUUUCUCUGUAUUUUCGGAUUUGGCCAAAGUUUGGUAUUUAUUUUGCAUUUCACAUUGAAUCAGUCAAAUUUACCAAACACAUGCCCCUUUGUUUUUUUUCCCAAUGGUUCAUUGUUUAUAAUUUACCUCUGAGUUGGUGAGCUUUAUACCUAAUAAUACAACUACUUACUUUCUUUCCUCUUUUUUUUUCCAUUUUGAUUGUUUCUUAAGAGUUGAUUUUACAGAUUAAAUCGGAUAAACACUAAUAUGUAUUGUCGGGGAUAAUGUAUAAUGUUAUCUUAUUUUUAGCAUUUGAUAAUAGCUAUUUGUAUGAUAAAAUUAUAUUUCUUCAUUGAUUAUUCGUAUCGUCUUUAAUAAUUAAAUAACGUUCAAUGUAUAGGUGACGAAAAUGAUAUCAUAAGAUUUCAUCACUAAAUCACACGCAUAAUCAUCAUUAAUUAUAAGAAAUGUCACCAAUAAUGAAAUUACAUGACAAAAUAAAUAUCAUCCAUUGUUGUUGAUUGAGUCUUUGUUUGAUUAGCAUAAAUAUUGUUGCCAUUGCAAGAGGACGUGGGUUUGAGUGUGUUAAAGCGCAUUAUCCUUCUAUUUAUGGGUUGAGAAGGGGUUAUAAGUAGUUCCAGACAUUAUGUCAAACGUCUUAUAGUGCCGGUUGUUGAUUUUUAUUUUGAUGACAUGUAGAAAUCUCUGGUUUAGGAAAAAUUCACUUUCAUCUUAGCUUUCAUGAUUUGUUAUAUAAAAAAAGUAGGGGAAAAUCAUCAAAGUUCCUAUACACUCGAGGAAAGAAAUUAAAGAGCAUUGAAUUUGGUAUUGGUUUGUUAUAUAAAUUGUGUGAAUGAAAUAAAAACAAAAGAUUAAAAUUAAUUAAAAUUUAAUUUAGGAAAAAUGAGUUUUUGAAUUUGCAAAUGCAUAUUUCUAAUAUCCAAUAAAUUCAUAAAUUAAAGAAACCAUAGUAAAAUUACUUUCAUGAGUCUUAUCAUAGAAUUAUACAAAUUCGAAACUCUAACCCCCUUUCCCUAAUUUAAAAUUAGUAUGGUUUCUAUUCACGCUUCGCAUUAGGUAAAUUAUUUAUUUUUUGACUAAAUUGUAGAAUAAAAAAUUAAGGGUUAAAAUUUAAAAUUCAAUCUUCAUACUUUUAUUUUCAGGAAUUUAAUCUCUACUUUUUGAAUUUAAAAAUUUAGGUUCAUUUGUUAACACUGUUAAAUUUUAUUAUUAUUAAAUUUAUUGGUCUGGCAUUUUAAAAUUUUUUAAAAAAAAACUCACUUCGUGUUCAUGUAACAAAAAGAAAUUUAACGGACUUGAAUUUAAUAUAGAUAAUUCUUAAAAAGUCACACAAUCAUUUUAAUUAAAAUAAAAUAUUUAGACUAACUAAUGAAGUUAUAAAAGUUGAGGUACCAAAUUAUGUCAAAAUUAAAGUAUAUAGAUUAAAUCUCAAAUUUGAAUGAAAUAUAAAGAUGAAAUUGAAAUUUAACCAUUCUUAUAAUUUAAAAGAUGGAGGGAUUGAAAUUGAAAUUUACUCAUGAUAUAUAGUUGUAUUAAUUUCCACCUUUUUUUGGUGUAUGAAUUUGAGCAAUUGGACUCACAUAAUUCAUUCAAAUCAGACUUUGGAAUAUAUCUAAACCCAAUUAUGUAUCUACCAGCCCAAGUAGAUGCAGGAAACUUGGGGUUAUUUUAGAAUGGCAAUACCCAAAUCGAAUUUUACCCUUAUACAUGUAACCUUAUUAUAAUGAUAAAUUUUUAAAAGUGCAUUAUAUAGAUAUUGAAAGGGUAAAAACAUUUUAUGCUUUAUGUUUUUUUUUUCUUUUAAAGAAGUAUGUUUAAAUUAAGACGGGACGGAGUAGAAAUAGAUUUACUCAACAUUUAUAGAUGUGAUAAUAAUUUUUAAGAUUCAAACGUAGAUGGUGAAAGGGCUGGUGGUUGGGUACUGCAUGCCAAAUGUAGAGUUGUGGUAGUAGUAGAUUCGGCACCAUCUGCUUUCACCCAUUCCAUUACCAUAUCUAGUUCAUUCUUAAUGUUGUUUAUAUUAUUGUUAAAUGUUUUAAACGGUCUCAAAUUUUUAAAAUGUUUUAAUUGAAUCCUCAAGAUAUUAGUGUCAUAUUAAUAAAGUCCUACCAGCUUAACUAUCAAUUUGGAUAUUAGACAAAUGGAAGAAUUAGAUUGAUACGAUUUUACACUCUGAGAACUCAAUCAAAAUAUUUUAAAAUUUAAUAAUCAAUGUAAAUUCCGCAUCAUAAUUUGGAAAUGUUUGAUGAAAUAAACCCUAAAAUAUGAGAAAAAUAUGACACGUUUUUUAACACGAUAAAAAGUUUGCAUUUAUUACAUUAUUAGCACAUAAAUACAUACACGGACAAUAAACAAUAUGUUGACAUCUCAUUAAAAGCUCUUUAAAGAAUACGAAAAAUUAAAAUUUUUGACUCUUAACUAAAAUUUUUAACUAUUAACAUCACAUAACUCAUUACCGAUAUGCAUCGAUAGCGCAUUAAAUAUAAUUCCUUAAUUGCGGUACUUCAUCGCUUUCCCAAUGUAUAUUGUUAACAUCAAAACAACAAACAAACCCCAUGAAUACUACUGUGGGCAUCUUUUUUAUAGUACAGAAAGGAUUAAAAUAGAAUUUAUCUCCCUUAAAACAAACCACAAUGAGAAAAUACUUAGUUUCAGCAAAGUUGAUAAUUGGGGCAAGGCAAGCAUUUUCUUUAUCCAUUUUCCUAUGUAUAUAUAGCUAGGUUUUGUGGAUUCAAAAAGGAGAGAAUAAAUUCAUUGACAAAUUUUAAUUUUAAAAUAUAUAUUAUAUAAUAUUUAAGUUCAACUUGUUACAAUACCUAACCUAAUGAAAAUGAAGUAAUGAUGAUCAUUGUUCAUAAUUAAAUAUAUAUUUUUUAAAAAAAGCUUUAGAGAUAUAUCAUAUAUAUAUUGAAACAAGCAAUACAAAUUUUAAAAUUAUUGUGAGAGAGAAGGAUUUUCAUAAACAAAAUCGAACUCUGAAUCUAUUACCAACUUAAUUAAAAUCACAUGAAAUCUCUUGUUAUUAAAUUGAUAGCUUGUUAACAUAUCUCGUAUUGCUAUUAUUAUAAAAAGCAGUGGUUGAACUAUUGAAAUAGCACGAUUUCACAUCUAAAAAAUAAAAAAAAAUAUACGAGGUUGUGGAGUGUUUGUACUACUAGAAAUAGAGGUAAUCUCUCCAACUUUAAAUCAUCCCAAAAAUUGUCAUUUCCUUCCUAAGACAAUUUUUCUCUUUCUAUUUGUAUUUUUCCACUUGUAUCUUUUGCAGUGAAAUAUAUUUUGUAGUGUCUAAGGAUGUAGGUGUAAUUUACCAAACCUUCUUAAAAUUCUGAUGUUCUUUAUUGUUUUUCUUUCAAUAUUUUGUAGGGUACAUUUGUAUGAUAUAUUGUGCUAUUAAAUUACAUUGGAAGGAAAUUCUAUCUAAAAGGUUGGUUUUAAGCAGGAUUGUUUAUGACCCCUCCAAUCUUUUCUAGGAAUUGAAUCGAGUGUAGCUUUCUAGUACGAUAAUUUACUCUCUUUUACCCUAUUUGCACAACAAUAACUACAAUAAAACAAGAAUGGCCUAGGCUCCCAAAAUUUUAGAAAAUUUUGAAUACCUCUUUUAAAGAUUUUAAAAUUUUAAUUAGACCCUUUUUUCAAAAGUUCUAAAAUUUUAAUUAAACCUUUCAAAAUUUUUGAAAAUUUUCAUUUUAUUCUCUCAAAACUUUUAAUUAAACCCCUCACAAUUUUUGAAAAAUUUAAAUAAACCCUCCAAAACUCAAUGUCAUGUUCCACCAUUGAUGAAAAGGAAAUUCAAUUAUCUUACUAAACUCAAAAAUUUUGAUAAUAAAUAAAAAUAGUUUUAUGAUUUCUUUUCAACAAAAAAAAAGAAAAGAAAAAGAAAAAAAGACCUUGGUGCAGAAACUUAGACUAACCUGGUAAUUUAAUGGUAAAUCUCUUUGUAGAAGAAAAUCCCUAAAUAAGUUUGUAUCUUUUCCCCAAAUUAGAGCAGUUUUAAUGAUUUUUAAGCCAUUGACCAACUGUUGUGAUCCCUUAACCAAAAGCAAAAAUUAUAAUAUUUGAAUAUCGAGACAUGCAAUAGCUUUUUAAUAUAUAUAUAUUUAACACUAUUUUUUAGAACUAAAGAGUGUACAACAUGUCUGCUAAAACAUUCUGACAAAUUUUAAUUAUAAUUUAAGUAAAUAACUUAUAAUUUUUCUUUAGAGAGAUUUACUCCUCAAAGUAAGAAAAAUGUUUAAAAAAUUAUUAUUUAAUAUAUAUAACAUUGUUGGAGGAAAUAAAAUUUAUCACCCAUCCUAUUACGUCUUUGGUUUUUCUUAAGAAUUAGUGAUAAGAUUCAUUAAAUUUUUAAAAGGAGAAUGCGAAUUCGAUUUUUAAAGAUAAAAUUAUAAAUUUCAAGGAUAUCUGUAAGGGAAUUGUCUUCAUGUUAGUAAGACCAAAGACAACAUUAAUAUAACACAAUUUUGUGUUGUUUCUGGUGGUUGUUGUAAGUGUUUUCUCUGGUGUGCAUGAACCCUUAGUGUUUUAUAUAUAUAUAGAUAAAGAUUGAUUAUUGAUAGAGGAAAUUACAGAAGGGAGCUAAAAAUCAAGAAAAGGGUAAAGCUUUGAAACAAUAUAUGAAUGCAAAAAAAUCAUGUUGGGUCAAGCAAGAAACAAGAAGAAUCGUCAGUGAUGAAACCCUUGUUUCAAUGUUUCUUACCUAUAUUUUUAUUACUGUUUUCUUAUAUAUAUAUAUAUAUAUAUUCUCUCCUGAAAACAAUGCAAAAAAGAAAUUACACUAUCCCAUGUUGCCAUAUCCUACAAGAUUUUUUUACUUUGGAACCCCUUUUUUCUAUGUUUCAAGUACUAAGUUUCAUGUCCUUUGUUAUGUCUCUUAAGCCUAUAUUUGUGUAUAUAUAAAUGAAAUUAAAGAAAAGGGGAAACCCUAAUUUGAUAUAUGUUAGUAACACAUUGUUAUCCAUACAUCAUAAUAUCAAACCACUUUUUUGUUCUUAUAGAAAGAAAGUUAAUUGUUCCAUAUCAUCAACAAGAAAGAAACUAUUUUCCUUAAAUCAUAGAUUCCAAAAAUCCCCCAAAAAGAAAACCUAAAAAUACCCUAAAAUUAACAUUCAACAUAAGAUGAACAUAAACUAGUUCCCAUGAAAUUUUGCUGACCUUUUUGUGAUCCACCAUAAAUGACAAGCUCUCAAAAUGGAGGUCUAUUACCACUGGAAUUUCCAGGCCAUCCUUCAACUGGUAAUUGAACAUUAGGAGGCAUAUUAAGUGGCAAAUUAAAGAAAGGUAACCCACCUUGUUGUGUAGUAGCACCUGGAUCAGCAAACAUGUUAUUUCCAUUUCCACCGCCGUUUGCACCGCCGUUUCCACCACCGUCAUCUUCUUCUAAAGGUAAUCUCUCAUAAGCUACAUUUGUGAAGGAUGAAGCUAUGACAAUAACAGGUCCAGCUGCCAUAAGUUCACCAACUACGUUUCCACCUACAACUUGUCCUUGACCACCGGCUAAAAAGAUGGUUAAACUGGUGGCACCGGGUGGAGCUGGCGGUGGUAGAAACGAACCGGAAAGUGAUAAAAUCUCGAAUCUACCAUGAAGGGUAACCACAGAACCAGUUGCUGAUGGUUGUCUAAUGGUGACGUUGGUGACCGUACCACUGCCGGAUAAUAUACAGAUACCCCUUUGUCGUCUCCGAGCAUAGUUGGCUAUACAAUCGAAUACAUCACAGCCGUUGCCAAUUUCAAGAAUGUGAGCUCUAAGGGUGUUUGCACUUUCUCUGGUGAUAAUAACUGGUGGUUUAGGCUUGUUUUUGGAACCAGGUGGACGACCCCUUGGUCUACGAGCAACAAGGUCAUCAUGACCUGUGUUCAUCAAGUCAUCGGCUGAUCCACCGCCGCUUCCGCCACCGGUAAGGUGGUCUUCAUGUUCAGAUUGGUGUUGAAGAUGAAGGUCAGGUCUAUGAAGUUGAUGAUGAACAUAGCCUAAAUCAAGACCAGCCAUGUUAAUAACUUAGUAGUGUAUAUAUAUAUAAUAUGUAAGUUAAUUUAGAUUAAAAACUGUUCAACAAAGGAGAUUUGUUUAAAUUUAUAUAUAUAUAAAAAAAAACUGGACUAAAAAAAGAAAGGGAAAGGCUACGAAGAGAAAGGGUUUUUGAUUUUAAAAGAGAAAAAGAAAAGAAAAUUGAAAACAACGAAGAAUUGAGUGAAGGCAAAGGAAAGGGGGGUGAAAUGGAAGAAGGGAGGUGAAGGAGGAGACAAAACAAAGUUUAUAUAUAUAAUAAAAAACGCAGUCAUUUCUAAUAUACUAUGAAUUGGUUGAGAUUAUUUUUUAUUUUUAUUUUCUUUUUUUGAGAUGCAAAGUUGGUGGAUGCCAACACUACUCUCAUUUUUAUGAGCGUGGGUUUUAAAAUAGUAAGAUUAUAUUAUUUUAUUGAUGGGUAAAUUACAUUCGCUAGUCCCUUAAUUAUUAAUGAAUUUCUAUUUUACUUACCCAAUUAUAUGAAAAGUUACAAAAUGGUCAUUUAAUUGUUUGAUUUUUUUCUUUUUUGGUCACUAGCAAGAAGAUAACUCGGUAACUUUUAAAAUUGGUAUAAUAGUAACUUUACCCCUCAAUAUUUAUACAUUUGUGUUAAUUUAGUGUUGAUUCUAAAAAAAAUUACCCUCAACAUUUACACAUUGUGUAAUUUGAACUUUUUUUUAUUUAAUUUUUCUUUGUAACAUUGAGGGUGGAUUUAAAAAGAAAAAGAAAAAAAAUUAAAUUUAUUGUCUUGGAUUUUUUGAUGUUUCUUAUACUUUCAGUCAAAUUUGGCUGAUAAAUUUAUUUAUUUUUUUAGCUUUUUAGAUUAAAGUGUCACAAAAAAAAUAUAAAAAAAUGAAUAAAUUAUACAAUAUAUAAAUAUAUUAAAAUUUUUAAAUUAAGUCAACACAAUGUAUAAAUAUUAAGGACAUUGAUUUAUUUUAAAUAUAUAACGUUAUAUAUUUGGAUUCACCAUAAUAAGAAAUUAAUACAAUUGGCUCUAGAUAAAGAAUUCAAGAGCAUGGGGAAUAUUUGUGAAAAGAUAUGAAUUAAGAAAGCUUUUGGUUUGUUAGUUGUUCCAACCAGUUUUUCUUAUUAAUGUUACAAACAUAAGUUGGAACAUAUUAGUAUAUUUAACAAAUUCAAAAACAAAAUAAUGUAAGGAGAAAAAUCAAUACACGAUCUUUGUUAAUGCAGCUUGAAUUCGUCUAUCUUACUCUGUGGAACCUUGUUUAGUGAAUGAUUUUAUUCAAUAAUGAAUCUAAAACUCUAUUGGCUAAAGCCGAAUCUACUCUUAUCCCAAAUAAUCUUACUUAUAAUAAGAUUUACUCUCCAAAUACAACGCAAAGUUAAGCAAAUAAUCAGUCAAAAAGCACUCAACAAGCACACCCAACAUAUGCAGCAAUGCAACCUCUAUAUAGGUUGAGAUCAAUACCUUCUCCAAGUAAUUGAGGAGAUAAAUUAGCAUUAAAAAUAAAAGAAUUAUUCGCACAAAAUAUCCUCCUUAAAUUUCGAAAUAUAUCCUUCACAUUUAAACAAAUUCAAUUCACACCAAAUAAGGCCAAAUCAAAGUCUUUUAAAAGAAGGAUAAGAUUUGCAUUCAAUCAACCUUUCCCAUUUGACAACAAAUCCUCCAACAAUACUAAAAUUAAUCCAAACAAAAACUAGAGUUCAUUUGCUGAUACAAAAUGAACCAAAAUAAUCCAAGUAAAAAAAGUCAACAAAACAAGUAUUGUUCGAACAAUGACAUCCUAAACCGUUAAAGUCCCAACAUCAAUGAAUACCUAUGUAAUUAAUGAAGAAAUUUAAUGGAUUAAAUCAAAAAUAUAGUGGCAAAACAAUUGUGUUUAAAUUCUCAAUCGACAUCCAUCUUAGAUUUACCCAUGGAUAAUUUGUAUCUCUACCCUUGUAUCGAAAUUUCUCUUCAAAACUAAUUACUAUAAAUGUUGUAUUGAAUUGUCGGUUCAACUCAAAUUAAUUAAUUAACUAAUCAGAACAAAUUUAGAAGAGAAUCCUCCUAUAGUACUUAAACUUAACAUCUCAGUUUUCGAAGCUUCAAUUUUGGAAAAAAAAAAAGUUUCAAGAAUGGAUGGAAGGUGGAAUGCACGCGGCAGAAAGGGUGUGUGAUCUUUUUAUUAGAAAAGAAAACAAUUGAGCAAAUGAACCCUAGAAGUAGAGGAGAAGAAGAUGCAUUUGGAUUUGAAUUGUGUGGAUGGGGUUUAGAUGACGGGAUGUUUUAACCUUCGGUCUUUGCUCAUUGGAGCUUGUUCUCAACUACGGUUACCACCCUUCACACAUAGUUGACCAAGUUUUUGGUUUAUCAACAAAUACAUUGAAAAAGAAAAAACAAUGGGGAGGCAAGUGGGCAAAAGAGCAGCGGCGCGUGGGUCCCACUCUUGUCGUAUCCGCCACCACCCUUCAUGGCCCUCCGCCCCUCCUUUUAGCCGUCACCGCCCCUUGUUUUAUUUUGCUUGACUUUGGAUUUUUUAUAUAUAUCAUAGUUUUAUAACCAUGCAUUUCCUUGUAAAAUUACUUACUUAUAUGGGUUAUAUAGCAUAUUUAAUGAAGUGCUAUAAAAGGAAAUAUGGGUUAUGUUCCUUUUUUAGAUAUUCAUAAUAUAUGAUUUUUUUAAUAAUUAAAAUAGUUUUUUUUCUAGAAACUUUUGGUAUACUUUAUAUAUAUUUAGAAGGUGUUGAAAAUUUGAUCUCUAUUCAAUAUGAGGACAAGAGUUGAGGAGUUGGGUUUCAAUAUUUUUAAGGAUAAUAAUUUGUUAAGAAUAUUUAAUCUUCCAUUUGAAGCUAUUUUAAAUGGAAUUUAUACAUGAAACGAUAAAAUAAAAUAAAAUAGAUUGACCCCCCUUUAAUAUAUAACUAGUUGAUUGAGAUUAAAUAUAUAGUAAUUGGUGUUUUAAAAACAUAUUCUUCUUCUUGAAAAUGAAAGCCUAACCAAUUGUUUGUAAUUAUUUUCUUUUUUCUUAAGAUAUCAAUAACAUUAUAAAACUAAAUUAAAUAAUUAACUUAAACCAAGGGUUCAACUUCAUGUAUCAACUAAUAAUUGGACUAAUUUUUUUAAUUUUUAUAGAACAGAAAGGUGAAAUUUAUGCAUUAUUCAUUGCUUUGAUUCAAACAUAUUUAGGGUCCUUUUGAGUGGGCAUUUACUGUUAGUAUAGCACGUUUAGCUUUCUUUUUGUCUCAUAUUACAGUAAUUAAUCUUAUCGUCACGGUUAUUUUUACAUUAACCACAAAUAAUUGUAACACCCGUCUAAAAGUAGCCUUAGAAAAUAAAAUGAUUUCAACUUCAAUUGUCAUCAUAUGUGUCCAAAGUAAAGCAAAGAAGUCAUCGAUUUUAUUUAUUUAUAAAUUUCAAAUUUGCUGUUGGCCUUGAAGAGGGCAAAUCUAUAAAGCAAAGAAGUCGGCAUUUGCAAGCGUGUAAAGGUUAAACUUCAAAGCAUAAAAAAAUGCAAAAUUACAUAAAUAAUUAUUUGAUUGUAAAAUUUGUAAUUUUAUAAGCAAAAUUAAAAUAUUAUUACACAUUUGUAGUUGAUAUUUAAGAAUCAAUAAACAAGAUUAUAAUAUUUUUUUAACUCGUUUGUGAAGAUGAAAAAACUCGUUUAAUUAAAAUAAUAAUCUAUAAAUAAAUAAUUUAAAAAGAGGGAUUUUUAUUUUCUUGCAUGAGUUAUUAAUUAAAUUUGGCUAGACAACACUUACCUAACUCCAAUAUGUAAGUCAAUCAAGGAUAGAAAGUAAAUGAAAGAAAUUAUAAUCUAAAAUCAAACAAAAGUUUUCACAAUUCAACCACUCAAGACUACUUGGGUUUGGAUUAACAUUAUUAGUGAUAUGAUCUUUUUGUUCUUUAUUUAAGAAAAAAUUUACAUACCAAAUUAUAAAAAUUUUAAUAUUGAAAUACUUCAAUGUUUCUCUUUUUUUUUUUUAUUCAUUAAAUCGAUAAAGCAUGUAAAAAAGGAACAAAGAGCACGAACUAAACCCAAGCCAGCAAGUUUACUCAAUGUAUAUCCUUUCCUAAGUCCCCUCAUUUUCACCCUAUUGAAACAACUCAUCAACUUUAACAAUAUCAAUGAUAAAAGUAGGUGAAGAAAAACAUUAGACAAGCGACAAUUUCUUUAAUUCCUCUUACGGAGUUAAAAUUUAAUUAUCAAUGUAUUAAAUAAUCACCCUUAUAAAAAGGGAUUAUUAUUAGAUGCAGAGGGCCAGGAGAGGAUAAAAUUUCCACAAGUAAAUUUAUAAUGGUGACAAGUGUUUCAUUCUUUUAGUUUUUAAAUUUUAAAAUUUAUUUAAAAUACACUUGUUAUCAUUUUAAGAGUGCCAAUGGAUUUUUUAUCCUUUCAGCACCAAAUAAUUAUCCUAUAAUAAAUCCCUUUUAGAUUUUUUUUUAAGAUGUAAAAUUUAUUUACUUGAUUCAUUUUCAUUAUAUUUAUUUACAAAAUAAUGGAAAUAUAAUCAAUUUAAAAAUAUAUUAAAAUACUAUAAGAUUAAAUUCAAAGCAUAUUAUAUUUGAUGUAAAAUAAAGGAUUUUAAACUUAUAUUUAUUUCAAUUUUAUAUUAAAUUUGAGAUGCCUUCAUAAAAUUAUUUUUAUUUAAAAUAAAUUAAUUACCAUGAUUUAGAAUGUUUAAUGAAAAUUAAUUUAGAAAGAAAAGAAAUAAAUUUGUUAUACUAGUAUAAUAAAAUAAAAAAUAUAAUAACCCAACUCGAGAUCUGACUCAAAAUACCCAUGAUUCAAGUAAUCCUAGACACUCCAUUUGAGGGGCUUCCACUCUGUUUUUUGAAGGAGAACACCAUCCUCUCCGAUCUUGACCUUUAUCCAUACCAUAUAUCAACAAAAUUAUGAAAUAAAAACUAAAUUCAAUAUAUAAUAGAACUAAAAUCAAGUUAAAAUCGAAUUAAAAUAUUUAAGAGGUAGUUGCAUAAAAAGAAAUAAAAGAGACUACAAAAAGAAAAUAUUCAUUUCAUCCAAAAAAAAAUCAUAUGUGAUUAUUAAAUAUUCAACCAUAAAUUCUAGUUAUAAGGUGGGGGAGCAUGAAAAUAGUAGAUAGAUUGUGCAAUUUAAGGUAUAUAUCCGUACAUUAUGCUCAUCAUCAAAAGUUAAAAAAUUAUAUAAACAAAUAUAAAUUUAUUGUAGUUCAUACAAUUUAAUUUUUUUUGAAUAUUUUAUUAAGUUUGCAGCAAAUUUAUACAUGAAAAACAAUCAUUGUUGGAUUUCAUAGGUCUUCAAAAGUUGUAUAAUAAAAUCACUUCUUAAAUUAAUAUAUAUAUACAAUAAAGCAUAUAUAUUUAUCCUUUCGAAACAUACUUUGUUCUAAUGAAUUGAUUGUUUAUUGAAAAAAAAAAUUAAUCCAUUAAUUAAUUAGUUAACUUAGUAUUAUAAAAAUUUUAUAUGACUUAUCUAACUUUAAAAAAUAAAUAAAAUAUAGAUAUAAUGUGAAGAGCCCUAAUAAUUAAGGCGCGUUAAGAGCACAUUAUGAUUAAUGGUGAGUAAAAGGUUAAUCAAAGUUUCUUGCUUAUCACAAUUGCCCCUUUUGGACUUCAAAAUGACUUAAAAGAUUUUGGCACACGAAUCUCUAAUGUCAAAUCCAAUUCUUGGAUCCACGUAACCUCAACGCAGAGUAUUGUCUACUAUUUUUAUAUUGUUAAUUAAGUAUUCCCGUGGUUGAAUCGUUGCUCGAAGUUUAUUAGUCGAUUUUAAAAAAUAAACUUAUCAGUUUAAUUAUUUGAAUAAAAAAUUUUUAAAUAGUUUAACAAUCAUUUUAUAAUAUUUUGAAGUUGAAUGACCAAAACAUAAACUUAAAUACUAAGAUGAGAAAACAAAUAUAGUUUAAGCACUAUUUUUCAUUUAAGCAUUCAAGAAAUUAAAGAUAAUAUACUCACUCUGCACUCAGUGGUGUGUAAGCAUGUGACAGUAAUUUGUUCUUAUCAGUAGUGUGUAAGUUGUAUAAAAAAAUAUCACGCGGGAUGUAAUGAUUUAAAAUAAUUUAUGUUAACGAAAUAUAGUUUAUAUAUCCAAUUCCGAUCCAAAAAUUUAAAUACCAAAAUUAAAAAAAAUUAUAAUUUAAAUAUCAAUUUAUCGUUUAAGCAUUAAAAAGAAUAUAACAUACUCUUUCAAAUGUUCUUGAAAUGACAAUUAUACACAUAUUUUAAGCACACUUGCAUGUAUAUAUACCCAAAUUAACGGUGGGGAAGCUUUCUAAUUGUGUAUAAUAAUUUAUAUAUGUUACUUUAGUAUACCUAAUCCAACGUAAGGGCGUGUUAGUUUAAUGGGAUUUGCGUUAUCGAAUUCUAUUUGAUUAAUAUUUAAUUAAAGGGGUGCCUAAGAACACCAAAAUUGACCAUAAAUCAAAAUAUUCAAAAGGUAUGGUUCUAAAGUAGGUGAAUUUGUGGUGGGGGUUUUGCCGAUUUGACAAGUUAAUUUGACUUGUUAUGAACAUUUGUUUGUAUCUAAGGCUAAUCAACUUAACCCAAUGGCUAAACAAUGUUUUAGUGUGGAAAUUUCAUUGUUAUUUUCUUUUCUUCUCCCUUUCUUCUCCUUAUCUUUCAAGUGGAAGAUGGUGUCAUUUUGUUGAAGAUUGUUUAUCUUCAGAUAAUACCUUCAAUUGUUGGGAGAUCAGUUGACUGUUUGAUAGAUGAUAUUUUAAAAUUUUCUCUUAAAAGAGUUGACCCUCCUCAAUAAUAAAAGGCGCUUUUUAUGACCCUUCAAUUGUGAUGGGGCGGCUAUUGAUUGCCCUGCCUUAAAUUGCCCGCAUUGUUGGUUUAUUAUGUCACAUCGUCGCUUUUAUAAAUAAAUGCGAGGUAACCCUAUCGCCAACAAGAUGCUUACAUGUGGCAUCCCAUGUCUCAUACGUAAGCUCUCUCACCUAAAUAAUGGCAUCCCAUGUCUCAUACGUAAGCUCUCUCACCUAAAUAAUGGAAGCAUAUGCAUAACCAAAGGUGAAGCCAAAAAAAUUUCUAAGGGGCCAAAGAUUGAGUUAUACAUUUUUGUGAGAGUCAAAAUGCAUUUUAACCAUUGUAUUGACAUAUAUCUUUGUAGUUUUUAGGAGGACUAAAUCAAUAUUUUAUCAAUUUUGGGGGCUAAAUUAUAAUUUUACCAUUUAUUUACUUAAAGUUUUAUAAAACUUCAAGGGCUAAAAACAUAGACGAAUUCAGAGAGGUAGGCAAUGGCCCGGCCCUCUAAAUUUUGUAAAAUUUCUUUUAGGCCCUUUCAGUUUUGAAUUUUUUUUAUUUUAAUGUUAUAUUAGUGUUUAAAAAAAGACAAAUUUAUGUUGGCCCCCAAAGUUUUCAAUUUUUUUUUAAAUUUUAUUUCUUUUAUAGGAUUUAUAAUUUUUAAUGACAAAUCUAGUAUCAUUUUUAGUUUAAUUUGGUAAAUUAUUACAAAGUAAUAUUUAAAUUUUGGUAAAAAUAAAGUUUAAUAAUUACAAUAUCUAAGUAUAAAUAGUAUCUAAAUAUUAAUUAGGUAAAAUAUAAACUUAGAUAAUUAGAAUUUCUAAUAUAAAUUGAGCAUAUAACUUAUUUUAUUUUUUCUAUAUAUUGGUCAGACCUAUUUUCAAUAUGUAUAAUUUUAUAUAAAUAUUCGAUCCCUUAUCAACAAUUCUGGCUUCACCCCUCCCACCCCGCCCUUGUGCACAGCAUUUACUCUCUUCUCAUAAUCUCAUCCUCUCUUCACAACGAUUCUCUUCUCAUCCUCUACUCACAACGGCUCUCUACCCUUUAAAGAUGAACUGUCUUUCAAGUUUCACCUUCGUCAGCUCCUUCCUCUGUUGAUUCCUAUUAUCAACAAAAACUAACAAUUAUAAUAAAUAAUUUUAUCGUCCCUACUAUUUUUAAUUCCAUCAAAAUUAAUUUGAACAUGAAUCCAAGAACACCGUCAAAACUAUAAGCACCUAGUAUUGAAUUUCAUCAUUAUCUUUCUUCAAAUUGGUUUGAACCGUGUGUAUAUAUACACAUAAUUUGAUUAAUUAAGUUUUAAAAAAAUCGUACAAGGAAUUGAAAACAGUGAUACGAGGUUGUGAACUGGAGAUUUUAAAGUACUGUACUGCAACUCAGAAUAUAUAGUCCAGAGAAAAUGAAAGCUAUGUUGAAUACUGUUCACAUUGAUAAAUUAUAAAUAUUUGUCGAAUCCUAAUUUCAAAUAAUCUUAUUAUUGAUGUUAUGUCUUGUCUCCUAUCACUAAUACUUUUAAAUUUUUCAUUAUUUGAGAAUUUUUUUUUAAAAACCAUAUUCAUUGACUAAUGAAACUUUUCAACAAUUUUCUUGAUUAAGACAUGACAUUAAUAAUUACAAAAUUUGUUGUUUUUUCAAUGUGAAAUUAAUGUAUUUUUAUGUUGUUUUAUGAUCUAUAAAUAUUUAAAAUUUUUAGAAUUUAUUUUAAAUUUUAUAAUUUUUAUGAGGGUUAAAAUGUAAAAAUUUUAUCGUAAGUUUAAAAUUUUAUAAUUUAAAAAAAUUAAAUUACAAUUUUAUCAUUUUAGGAGGGUUAAAGUGCAAUAAGAUCAUGUAUUAAUUUAUAAUUUUGUGGAUCUUAGAGGAGCUAAAAUACAAAUGUUCUUGUAAAAAUACCAUAGAAGCUGGUGCACUAGAAGUUAGAUUACAUUUUAGCACUUCUACUCAAAUAAUGAGCAAAUUAGUCUAUAUAUGUUACACCGAAGAGUAAAUUGAUCAUUCUGUUAAAAGUUUCAUCGACUUCUACUAUUCAAAAUUAGUCCUUUAUGUCAGCAUGAGAUACACGUGACACGCCACAUGUAAUUAUCUAGUUAUUCUGUCAGUCUCGUUAAUUAUUAAUAAUAAAAAUGAGUAAAAAAAAAUUAAAAAAUUUUAAUUUAUUUUUUAAUCUAACGUGUAAAUACCAAUUUACUUAUUUUUAAAUAAAAUUAACAAAAUAUUUACUAAUAAAAUACCUCCCACACUAUACUUAAAAAUAUAGCUUUAUCUUAUUUCUAACACUUCAAUAAAUUAAUCUCUUCAAAUACUAGUAAAACCUUCAAAAUUUUGUCACAUUCUUGCAACUCAUAAAUUUAAAUUAAAUUAAACUUAGAUGGACAUGGUAAUUUCAGUGAUGAAGUGAGAGAAGAUUUGAUUUGAUGGACAGAUUGAGGGAAUACUGAGAGAGAGAGAAGGGGGGGUGGAUACAUAGAGAUUGCAAAUGGCAGUGCCCAGGGCCAGGGGCAUAUGAAUUUGUGAAAAAGAGUGAACAAGAACCAAGAAGCUAAGGAAAGGUGAAAGCCUGGUUAAAAGGGAGGUGUGAUGGAAGAAGAGAGAUCACGUGCGGUCACUGAGGGUGGUGAAGGUCACCGUAUAGGUGUCUCUUUCAUCGGGAAUUGCUCUUUCUUUCUUUUCUUCUCCUUGAAUUCCGGGGAAGACUGAGAGAAAAAGUGAAAACCAAACCCAAUAUCCCUGCACUUCACUGCACUGCAAUUUACCUGCCCCCACCAUUACAUCACCCCUACCCAUUCUAACUUUCACCUCUCUAAACCUUAUCUUAACCUAUGUUAACUCCAUUUCAAACUUAAAACAAAAAUGAUUUCAACAAAUAGCACGAUUUGAACUCCAAGUAAUUUGACUUGUAAUAACACAACCUAAGAAUCAAAUGAUUAAAAUCCUAAAAUAUGAAAAUACCGAAAAGAAUAUUCACUCUAACAUUUCAUCUCAUCAGGAGUUAUUUUACCUCCAAAUUCACCCUAAAUUGAAAACUAAUUUUAUUUGUCCAUUUGACAUGUCUAUAAAUUAAAUUUUGGAUUUUUUUUUUAAUUUUAGAUCAGUGAAUUUAAUACCAACUUUCAUGUAAGCCACAAUCUAAUGGAUUUUUUUUUUAUUUUGGCAUGUUGUUGGUUGCGGGUUUUUUACAAUAUUUUUUAUUUUUAUUUUAGUCUAUAGUAUCAUAAUUUUUGUUUUGUUCAUUUUAUUUUUUUUCUAAAAAUAAUAGUGUUUUUUAUUUUUUAUUUCUAGUCAUGUUUUUUUUGCAUAUAUUUGAUUUAUCAAGGUAUGAAUGUUGUCAAAUUUAUUGAGAACUCUUCUCGAAGUGCCUUAUUAUAAUAAAGCACAAAUGAUAUUGCUUGUAAAAUUGGAAUCCAAUAUGAGGAUGAUAAGCCAUUUAAAAUUUGACAUUUUAUGCAUCAUUGAUGUAGUGGUUAUCUUGGCAAUAAUUUCUUGGUUGUCCAGAGUUCUUUAUAGGUAAGACUGAUGAUAGUCGAAUUAGGAUGUAAUUUUCAACAGUUUUGUCAAUAUGAUGCUUCUCUGGUUGUUUUUGAAUUUUUCUAAUGUUGUGGUUACUAUCUGUUUAUCUUUCUCUUUUGAGGGAUUAUUCUACAAAUAUGACAUUUGUGUAUCAAUUUUAUGUCGAGCCUCCAUAUUUAAAAUUCAUAAAUAUCCAUCUUAAUAAUAUUAUCUUUAAAAUUUAAAUAUAUUUUUACCGUGAGCCUAUAAGUAAAUUUGGAAGACUAGCCUUGAUUUGAACUAAUUACCAUUGUACUUUUUGUACACAAACGAAGGCCAAAACCCUCUAAAGCAAACAAAUAUGGGGAGAGAGGAUUCUAUUGACAUGUGAUGGAGACAUUGAAGGAUUUGGAAAGCAGAAUUGGUGGAUUUUUCAAGGACAGAUCCACUAAUCUAAUCUCAUCAAUACCCCCCACAAACAAGGUCGAGACUUUUUUGGCUUUUUCUUCUUCCUCUUUCUCAAUACAAAAGCAAAAAUGUGGGUAAAUUACUAUUGGCUAUAGCCUAUAUGCUCUCUCAAAUAUACAAAAUGGACAUCUCCCCCAUUAUUACGCCCGUGAGAGAUGCCGCCAGCUACUCUUCCAUUGCAUGCGGCUUUCCUAUCAUUCUUGCUUGUCUCUUGGUAUGCUUGUUUCAUCGCCCAAUUCAUAAUUUCGAUAUUGGAUUACAUCUAUUUAAUGAGCUUAUUAUAGUGAAAUAUCGUGUGAUUGUUUUAAAUCAAUGAUAGAAAUAAAAAAUGAAAAAAAUACUUAUUUAUGUUUAUGUCAUGUAGGAUUUGCAUUAAAAAUUUUAAAUUUACCUUUUAACUAAUUUAACCAGUUUCAGUACUAAAAAAAAAGGAGAUAUGCUUAUUUCGAGAGAAAACAAAUGUAUUUGAUAACUGAUUUAAUAGAUUCUAGGUUACCAGCACAAUUUUCUAGUUUCUGAUGUAGCUUAAUCAAAUGUUUACAAUCUCUUCAUUUCUAUUUUUUAACCACAUUUGUUGAUUUAAAAUGAAUCUCAUAGGAUCCUAUUGUAAUAUGCUCUCACAUAAGACGUUACUGUUACGUUGGAUUAUGAUAUUCUUAAAUAAAAAAUGUAACGUUUUUAAUACUAUUUUCUCCAUUCACAAUACUCGAUUCCAAAACAUUACUAUUCAUUAUCCAAAUCAUGUUAUUUGCAAUUGCAAGACACAAUGAAAUGAUGUGCCAUAUAUUAUGUACUUAUUGACAUCAAUAUUAAAUACAAUUUAGGGCUAGUUUACUAUUAAGGUUGAAAAAUGCUUUUAAAAAGUGCGUUAAAAAGUGUUUUUUAAAUUUUUUAUAGCAUUGAUCAUUAUUGUCAAAAAGUGAUUUUGCAAAGAUAAGAUAACAAUUUUAGACAUGUAAAAUAGAAGACUUAAUGAGGGGAUAAAAAAGAUAACCUCAUGGAAAAGCAUGGAAAAGCAUUUUUCCAAAAGUCAAAAGCUAAAAAUUUUGGCUUUUUGAACUCGGAGGAAGUUGCUACAGGUGGAGUGUUGAAGGGUCAUCAUAGCCAGUGGAUUCUUGAAUUUAAUAGAAGGUUGGGGCAGUAUUUUGUAUUCAAUGCUGAAUUAUGGGAUAUUAUAGAUGGAUUGGUUAUUUUUCAAAACAAGAAAUGGGACAAAGUGUCAAUUUGGACAGAUAGCGUCAAGGUUAUACAGUCCAUUAAAGAAAUAUUUACAAGGCUUUUUCAUUCAACACUUAUCAGGCGAAUUCAGCAGAUUUUGUUAGAAAUGGUUCAGUGGGAUUUUGUUCAUAUCCUUAGAGAAGAAAACAUGAAAGUUGAUAGCAUUGCAAAUUUGGCUUUUUACCGGAAUGAGGGUUUGCUGAGAAUCCGCUGAAUAUUAGUAGUUUAAUGUGAUUUUUUUUAUUGGUAUCUUGUACACACGAAAAAAAUACUAAUUUAAAAUCAAUGUUUGAUUUGAAAAGUUACCUCUUUACCAAAUUUUUUUUAUUUAAAAUUAUAGUUUAUUCUUUUCAACCUUGAUAAUAAACACACCCUUAAUUAAUUCCUUAAGCUUGCAAAAGCGUAUGACCCUUGGUAACUAAUUCUAAUUCCCUAUGAAGACGAAACUCUACUUCGGUUUCUUUACAAAGGAUAUUGUGGCAUCCACAUUGUAACCCAAAGUAUAGGGUUUAGUCAAGAAAAGUAAUUAUUCUAAUGUCCAAUAUUUAUAUUAUUUUUAUGACUAAUAGGGUCAAAGAACAACAAUUUGACAUUUAUAUUAGCAAUCUUGACUUUUUUUUUAAAGAUCUUUUCACUAACUAAAUUGGGACUGAAUUGCAAUUUUCAUAAAUUUUAAGUUAAAAACAUAUUGUCCAUAUCAUUUAAAAAUUAAAAUUAAAAUUUUUAGUUUUUUAAUUUAAAAAAUCCUAAUUCAAUCAUUAAAAUUGAUAGUACUUUUCACCAAAAUUUACUAAUUUAGUUUAUUGAUUAAAUUAUCAUUAAUAUAUGAUUUAUGGAAAAUAAACCUAGUAGGUUGAAAAUUUUUGAUAGAAAAUGCUAAAGAUAUUAAUGAUUGGACUUGAUCUUUUUAAUAGAAAAAGUAAAAUAAUUUAAUUUUUUAUUUUUUUAUCAUAAGGAUUAAAUCUCAACUUUAUGAACGUAGAGGAUCUGAUAGUAUAUUUUGAUUUAAAUUUUAGUAAUAUGAAAAACACUUUUUAACUAGAUUUAAUAAAGAUAAUCUCGCAAUAUUAUUAUAAGAAUAAUUUUUAAAGAAAUCAUAUCCACGUUGAACCCUUUAGAUUACCGGUUCUUAAUUCAAUGCAUUAAACUUUCGAUUCAAUAAUGGCUAAAUAAAAAACAAAAAAUCAUAAAAUAUAGAAAAAAAUAAUUAGGUUAUACCACAUCCGUAAUGUGAGUGAAAAGAAAUUAUGUAACAAAUUUAUAAAAAAAAUUAAAUAUAAUUUCGGUUAAAAUGAAAAAAUUGAGCUUUUUUUUUUCUUUUUUAUACAUAGCAAAGUUGAGAUAUUGAAUGUUAUGAUAUUUUGGUUCAUACCCCAUGAUUCUCAUCAUUUGUAUAUAUGUAUAUAUAUAUUAAAUUUAUCAAAAUAAUAAAAAGAUAUAAAUAUCCUCAAAAUAAGAUUUAUUUCUUUAUAAAAUAAAUAAGUUUUUGGUAAUUUAGAACUGAGUUAAAACUCAAUUUAUAGAUGGCGCCAAUUCAAUUAAACAUAAAAUAAUAGUGCAUAAAUAAAUUCUAGAAUUUGACGACAAAAUAUAGGCCAAAACCGAAAAAGAUCGUUUCACAUGGUUCUUUUAGUAGUCUUUUUUUUGUUGUUAAAAUAUGUUGUUAGUCUUUAUACUUUUAACAAUUUUAUAAAUUCAAUCAUUCUAUAUUUUUAAUUUAAAAAGCUUAAUCCGAUUAUUAUUGUUAUUAGUAAUUUCAGUUUAAAUUUAUUAAUAUAACAUAUUUAUUUCUGGUUAAUCAGACAUUAAGGUAGCCUAAUGAAUACAUUGAGAUGUAAAGUUUGACCGGGAAAGAUGAUUUAUAGUGAUGUUGGGACCGCUACACAAUUCAUAUGAAUUUUCCUAAGUAAAUGCUUAAUUGCAUUGAGUGUUAAGUUGAUGAGUUAAUUUGUCGUCUUCCCAAUUAAAUAAUAACAAUGACUUCUCGUUAAUUUCAAUGAAAACAUCGAAAUCAACCAAUGAAGCAACGCCUACGGACGUAAAACAAGUAAUUAAUUUCCCCUUAAUCUACGCUCAAAUGUGCUUUAGACCCCACUGGUUAUUUGGUUGGUCAAAUCAACUUUGAUUAUUUUAAUAAUCUUAUGACCACUAAAUCUUGAUUUAAUGAAUGUAAUUUCGUAUGUAAUUUAAUUUGUGGUUCUUCUUCAACCACACACAAAAUAUUUUUCAAUCAAGAGUUAAUAGGGUUUCAAAAAUUUUGAAAUAUGGUUUGAUUGAGAUCUGGAUAUAUUUUGAUUGUCAAUCUGAUCAUGUUUUUUGUUUUUUUUAAGGUAUUCAUUGGAGCAAGCCUAAUAUUAAUCCUUCAUAUUUUGUAGGUCUAUUAAGGGAGAAGACGUUGGCCAUCAGUUUUAAACUUGCUCCAUACCUAGAAUGAGAAUCAAACUCUCAACCACUGGUUAAUUAAGGUAGUAGAGACUCUUGCCAUCUCAUAUAACCCUUGUGGUUUCAAUUAGGUGAUGUUUUACAAUGAUUCGAGAACUUAAAAAAGAAGUAUAAAAUAACAUUUAGUCUCUAAACUUCUUAAUUUUUUCUAACUUAGCUCCUAAACUAUUUUUUAUCCACAUUAGUAUUGAAACACGUCAACUUUUCUUAAUUUUGAUUCUGUGAUGAUAUGGCAAAACUUUAUAUUUUUUAUAAACAAAUUUGGUGAUUAUGUGGCAUAAUAUUAAGCUGCCACAUCAUCAUACGGACGGGAGUUGAGAAAAGUUGCCAAAUUCCUAGUCAAAAAAAUUUCAAGGACUAAAUUAGAAAAAGAUAACAUGUUCAAGAACUAAAUGUUCACUUUUCCCUAGAAGUAAUUAUUUAUUAGUGGUGAAGCUUUUUCUUUGAUUUUUUUUUCACAUUAUAAGUGUCUUUCUUUUAUAUUUUUGAUUAAGAUUGGGAUAAUUUAAAAGCCUAAUCCUUGGAUUUCUUUUUGUUUGUCCAAUCAUUAUACGAUGAGCACAAAAAUAAAAUAAUAAAAGAUAAUUAAACCUUAAUAGUGCAGACUAUUGGAUCUUGCCGCUACAAAGUAACAUUCUCUUCUUCUUUUUUCCUUCUCAUUUUAAGAUAAUUAAUUUAACAUAAUUACUAUAUAUAGAAUUAUAGAUGUUGGUUUAAUUAUUUCUCUCUUUUUUCAAAAAAAAAUUAUUAUAAAUAUAAAAUAAAUAAAUUGAGAGGUAAAUUAUAUAAUAAAUAUAUAAUUUAUAUAUCAUUAUGUUAAAAAUAUUUUUAAUUAAUAACUCAUUUAUUUAUAUAUAUAAAAAAUUAAUUUUGAUUUUAUAAUAUUAGAAUUUAUCAUACUCACAAUGUAGAUGAAAAAAUAAUGAUAUUUGAAAUAACUAUUUGAUUUUAUAAUAUUAGAAAUCACUAUACCAGAAUGUAGGUGAAGAAAAUAAAUAUUUAAUAUAUAAAAAAUUAUAUAAAGAAAAAAGAUAUCAAACAAAUUAGUUAAAAAUAAAAUAUAUUUAACAUAAUGAUAAAUAUAAAAAAUAUAUAAUUUCAUUAUAUAAUUACAUAUUUAUUAAUUUAUUUAUAUAAAUAGAGGAGUUAUUAAUUGAAAUAUUUUUAACAUCAUGAUAUAUAUAUUAUAUAUUUUAUUAUAUAAUUACAUAUUUAUUAUUUUAUUUAUAAAAUAUUUCAAAUAUCAUUGUUUUUUAUCUACAUUGUGGGUAUGGUAAAUUCUAAUAUUAUAAAAUCAAAAUUAUUUUUAUUAUAUAUAAAUAAAGGAUUUAUUAAUUAAAAAUAUUUUUAAGAUGAUGAUAUAUAUAAUAUUUUUUAUUAUAUAAUCACAUAUUUAUUGUUUUAUUUAUAUAAGUAAAAGAGUUAUUAACUAAAAUUAAAAAAAAAUUAAAACUAUAAAAAAUACAAAUGUGAGUAGGAGAAGGAUCAAACUCGAGACUUAAGGACAGAACUACUGACAUCUAAUCAAGGAAAACGCUUCCUGCAAUCAUUUUCCAACAUCAACUGAAACCACUUAUUGCAGGAAGCGUUUUCUAUUUUUCUCUCCAAAAUCGGUCUAUCUCCCUAAAUAUAAAAAAGAAAGGCUUAAAUCGCUAAUGAUUUUAUAAAAACGACAUGUUUAUCUAAUUUACCCUUAAUUAAGGAGUCCACUUUACAAAGUAACAAUUGCUUCAUUGGGUUGUAUAGUAAUUAUAUAUAAUGCUAUUAAAUUUGUAACCAUAUUAUUAGUCAUGUAACGAUUUUGAAGUCAAAUAUUAAACAAAUGUCAUGGGAUUCCAAAAAGGAUGUUUCAUGAAAUAUUAUGAUAUUGAAAAUGAAGGAUGUGAUGUUUAUAUUAUUAAUAAAUCAAUUUUAAAAUGCCAAUUAUUAGAUUGAUCCAAUGUUGGGUUUGGAUCUCACUAAAUCUUUUCACUACAUAUUGUAAAAUACUAAGUUGUUUAUAUUGAUCUUAAUUUUUUAUUUUUUUUAGGGAUCUAAAAUAAAUGAGAAGUGAUUUAAAAGGGUGUGGAAAGAUAUCUAUUAAUAGGAAGAGGUAGUAUUCGACAUAAUGAUUGUGUAUUUUUUAUUUAUUUUAUAAGUAGUUUUAAAAAAUAGAUAUGUUUUUUAUUGUGGAGUUUAAAAAUUCUAUUCAUGGUGCAUUAAAUAUUAUUGAGUCUUAGCUCAAUUGGCAUCGGUAUUAUUACCAGUGUAGGAGGAUGUGGGUUCGAAUUUGUUAAAAUGCAUUACCCUUCUAUUUAAGAAUUGGAGAUGAAUUAUAGGUACUUUUUAAGUAUUCUAUUAAAAAGAGCAUGGGAAUUAUUAUUAUAUUAAUUUGUGAUUUCAUAAAUUUUAAAGGGUUUUCUAAAAAUAGAACGUCAGUAAUGUCAAUAUAUUGCAAAAAAAAAAGAAAUAAAAAUAAAAAACACACAGAGUUUCGACUACAUCUAUUUAUAGGUUGAAAAAUAUAUUAUAUUCAUAAAUACUAAAUCUUGUAGAAAGAAGAUAUAUUUUUUUUAACUUAACUUACAAGCAAUUUCUUAGAAUUCGAGUCACACAACUCUAACAGGUUUAUAUAACUAAUUUAUCAUUCUUGGGGAUACCAAGGCCACUGCUUACUCUCAAUACAGUAGAUGAUCAGAUGACCAACCAAUGAACAAUUUAUAUGCAAUCUAUAAACCAAGUGCUAAGCCAGAAAUUGAACAUUUUUGGAGCUCACGUUGGUCUUGUAAGAACUUCAACUUUACAAACCAAUCCGUCCAUCUCCUUUAGAAGAACCUUUGAUGUCAAAUUCAUGGGUUCCAUUUCUUUACAUUUUACAACUAAAAUUCACCAACCCAAUCAUCAAUCAAGCUUGCUAUUUCAUCAAACUGUGAUUCCACUCUUUCUUUUUAAUUUUUUUUUCUUGUUUUCCAAAUGCUUAACCAACAAGGAAGGACAUUUAGGAUGGAUUGGAUGACUCUAUAUUAUAUAUUCUUGACAACCAUGACUUUUAAAUCUUGUCAUAUCUUUACUUUAAUUUGCACUCAACUUUAGUUUAUUCUUUAAAAUUUGAUGGUUACACUAGUAAGAUAUUUUUGCAUUUUCGAAGAGAAAAUUUCGGUCCAAAUUUUAGAAAUGACAUUGUUAAGAGAAACAAUCAUAAUCCCUGAAAAGAUUAGCCAUCAUGAACCAUAAGGAUGAAGUCAAAAAUUAAUUUUUAGGGGCGGAAUUAAGUUAUGUAUUCUUUUUAUAGCUAAAAUACAAUUUCAUCAAUGUAUUAGCUUAUAUCUUUAUAACUUUUAAAUGAUUAAAAUGUUAUCAUUUUUUAAUGCUAAAAUGUCAUUUAUCAUUUUAUAGUUUUAUAAAAUAUAAAAGGACUAAUGUGAUAUUUUUUUUUAUUUUAGAGACUUUGGUUCCUACCAAUCUCUUAAUAUCGCCCUUGAUGAAUCAUAAAACCACUAUGAAAGAUAUCUAAAGAUUAGAUUUUAUUGAUUUUUCUAAUUUCCUUUAAAUUAGAAUUGUGAUUUGUCUAAGCUCUUGACCCUCCUCUUGAGUCAAUUAGUUGGAAGCAUGAAUCAUACUGUUUUUUCUAUCAUUAUACGUACAGUGAAAUUUGAAAUUUUUUGCUUAAUUACUGUUCUAUAUUCAGUCAAAGCACAUUAAUAUCCAGAAAUUUGGAUUACCAAAAAUUUAUUAUGUUUUGUGAUUUGGAAACAAUAUGAUAGCUAGCUUUAACCUUCUAUUAAUUCUAAAUCAUCAGAUAAGUUGUAUUGCACUUUUUUGGGUUAAAUUCUGAUAUUAAUUUUUAUAUUUUAUAAAAGUUGUGGAUUUAGUCCCUGCAUUUUAAUUUAGUUAUUUUAGUUUUAUACUUUACAAAUUUUAAAAUUUCAAUUUUCAUCAAACAAUAAUUGCUAAAUUCAUUAAGUUUUCUAUUUUCAAAAUAUGAUGCGGGAAAUAUAUUAUUAUGUGUAAUGUCAUGCCAACUUAUUAUUUUCACAUAUUAUUCACUAAAUAACCAAUUAAUAGAUGUUAUUUUGUGUCAAUACCAAAAUUUCAAAAUUUUAAAAGCAUAAGAACUUAAAAUGGCCCAAUUGGAGAAUAUGAACUAAAUUUAUAAUUAUGCGCAUAGUACAAUACUAGUAAUUGAAUUUAACCAAACAAAUUUAACGUUUAUUGUUUUGGUAAUGACUAAAAUUUUAAAAUUCGAAAAGUACAGAAAUUAAAAUUGAUCAAAUUAAAAUAUAAAGACUAAAUCCACAACUUUUUCAAAGCAUAGAAACUAAUAGCAAAGUCUAAACUUAUUUUUUAUAUAUUUCAUGUUUGUUUUGUGAUUCAUGUUUGUUUUAUGAUUCAUGUUUAGGGUUUUUGACUAAUCUUCUCAAUAAUAUCGUCUUUAAAAUUUUAAUAUUUAUUUUUUAAUAUGAUAAACUUUAACACUACACCCAACAUUUAUAAAUCAUCGAAAAUAAACUGUAUUUCGUAUGAAUUAUUUUCAAACACAAAUAGCACAUCCAAACCAUUCACUUUUCUUUGAAAAAUCCACACAAAAACCAACUUGUUAAACAUCAUAUCUAUUGUUGAAUUAAUCAAUAAUAGUAGUUACUUUAAAAUAUUCCUUUAAUCGUAACCCCUAUACUUGAAAAAUAAAAAGGAACCUAGCUAUUUGCAUAAACAAAACCAUUAACGCAUAGAUUCCAUGGUGUUUAACAAAUUAAAAGAAAAAUCAUGGAUGCAACACUAUGAUCAUGAAGGGAACCAUGUGGAUGAUUAAGACUUUGUCGUUUUAUUAUCUUUUUUUUUUUUUAUAAAUUUUUGUCACAACUUGCAUUUACUUUAGAACAUGGGUUUUCAGUUUGUACAUUAAUGAAAUGAAGCUGGUAUAUGAUUAAGCUUUCUUUUUUCUUUUUUUAAAUAUAUGAUCUAGAAAUCAAGGCAAUAUUUUUUUAUUAGCUAUGGAUUUAAUUGAAUUUGACAACUUAAACACAUGCUUAAUAACAUGUAAUUAAAAAUAAGAAAAAAGCCAAAAUAAAGGUUAAAAAAAAACCCUAAUCUUAUAUAUAUAUAUUGCAUGUCAGCUUGUGAAGAGGACAUAACUUUAUAAAGGCCCUAACUAAGAGACAUAGCAAAUGAUGUUUGCAGUUAAGGGAGAUAGAAUAGGGAAAUGAGUAUAUAUUAAAACAGGCAUUGGCCUUCACAUGAUGAUGUUAUUGUUUAUCUAUUCAUAAGGCAAUUGCUUUAUUGUUAUUAUUAUUAUUAAUCAAAGUAAUUGUUAGGUUCAAUGCAUGUAUGCCCCAAAAUGCAGGAUAUGCUGAUCCCUAAUGUAGUACUUUUACUGUUUAAGUUUAAUUUUGUUUAGGUAAAAGGUUGUGUUCAAAUAAAUUCUUUUUAAUGAUGAUUUCUUCAAAUAAGGGUGAAGUCAGGAAAUUAUUUUAAGGGAGUAAAAUGAAUAAAAAUUUUUACAGGAAUCAAAGUGUAAUUUUAUCAAUAUACUAUUAAAAGGACUAUAUAAACAUUUUUUUUUCUUUUGAGGCUCCUUCUGCUCUGGUUCCAAAUUUUUUGAACUUAAUCGAAUUACUUGAAAAAGAAGAGAUUUUUAAUUUGACAUGAAUUCACUUUCUUAAUUUCCUCGUCCUAUAAUAAGAAUCCAACAAAUGUCAAUUAAUCAUAAGUGUAAUGAUAAAUAACUUGCAUUGCUUAAAUCCUUAUUCCUAUACCUAUUGUUUGGUUCAAAAUUAAACAACCCCAGCUAUUACCUUUGAUUUUUAAAGAAUACAAUAUGUCGAACAAAUAAGCAAUAAUGUUCAAUUAUUCCAAAAAAUUCUCACAUCAAUAUUAGAAUUCUAAUCCAAACUUGAAAUUUUGAUCCAAUCAAUUUGAAUUCAAACUUGAUCCAAUUUUAUCAUAAAAAUUUAUAAUUUAAUUUUAUCUAAAAAUUGAUCCAAAAUUAAAAUUGACCCGGACUUAAAAUUACCUUAAUCUAAAUUAAUUCGAAUUCUUAUUGAUUAUACUCUAAAUUUAAGCCUCAAACUCAAAUGAUCUAAACUCAAAAAUAACUAUCCAAAAUCAAUUUAACCCUUCUAAAUAAAUAAAAGCUUCGAUGAAUAUGAGAUUAACACAUAACACAUUGAAAAUCAUCAUAAACAAGUCCUUAAACGUUUUUGGACCGACCAAAACACCUUGCAUUACUAAGCUUUAAAUUCUCUCAUACUCUCAUUCGAUCUCUAAUCUUCUCUUAACACCUACAUUUUGACCAUCUUAACUUACCUAUAACUCUCACCUUCCAAGUAAACCAUCCAAACAUCACCAUAACCCCACCUAAAAACCUGUCAAAUGUUUAAAUCUUCACAUCUUCACCUAGGAAAAUUGGGAAACCCAAUUAAGAAGAAUCCCAUUAGCAAUUAGGAGAAGGAACCAUUGGAGCAUUAAAAAGAAGUCAUCACUAAAAGUUUGCCACGUGACCCUCUUGUCACGUGUUAGUGAAGAAGAAGCCCAAACAUCAAUGCGUUUGCAUGUGCAUUUUGGGUUUUCGUUUCGGUGGCCUAUUCUUACUUUCACGCUCCCACGUGACUCCAUUUUUGCCUGUCUUAGGGUGGGCGAUUGGGUGCGGUGCUGUGUGUUUAACUUAUUUUUUGUCUCACGCUACAAUAUCGCUACAGUAUCUAAUCUCACCGCCACCGCUGUUUUUACACUAACCGCAAGUAAAUGCACCGCUCAUCCAAACCCACCCUUAGUUUGGGGGUUAUGAUUUUUUUCUUUUUUAGUUUCUCUUCUCUUAAUUAACCCUAAUUUUUGGUUUAUUGGUUAAGAUAGAAGUUUUGAAUUCGUGAGUAUUUGGGCUCGAGCUUCAUACUCGAGUGAAGUCAUAAAUUUUGGGGAGAUCAAGGGUAAAUUAUAUAUUAAUGUAAGAGUUAAAAUAUAAUUUUACAAUUGUAUUGAUAUAUAUAUAUAUUUAUAAUUUUUAAAAGGAUAAAUUAAUGAGCAUCAAACUACAAUUUUACUAUUUAUCUAUUUAUAAAUUUAUAAAUUUUCAGAACUAAAAGUAUAAUUUUCCAUUUGAGCAGGUUUUCCUUCGCCAUUGCCUAUGCCGCAUGUCAUGGAUUUUGUUCAAUUCUUUUUGGAUUAGUCUAGUUUUAUUUAGUUUUUUUGUUUGCUGUGCGCUGUAAUAAUUAAAUUCUAUAUUGUAAUUGAACAAAUAUAUAAUUAUAUUUGUAUUAUCCUAGUAACUAUAUUUGUACUAGUAAAACUUAAAAAAAAUUAACCUUAUUUUUCCUACUUAUAAUUGUAAUUGAUUUUGAUUUAUAAUUGUAAUUGAUUUUGAUUUAUGAAUGAUUGGUUCAAUUCUUUAACAUUUGGAACAAUAUUAACAUUCUAAUUUUCAAAUUUACUAUUCAUUUAGUUUUUUUUAGUUACAAUUAUACAAGAAGUUGUAUAAUAUUAUUUAUAAUAUUAUUGAAUCAAUAGUUGAAUAAAGAAAUUGAGAACAACAUUUUAAAUUAAAACCUUUGGUUUAGUUUGGGUUCAAUUCUACUAAAUUCAAUUCAAUUUCAAUUCGAUUAUUACAUAAAUAUAUUCGAUUUGAUUUAAAUUAUGAUUUACAAGUUAUUAUUUGUAUAAACCCAAAUUUUAAUUUUUAUAGCGUGAAAAAUAAUCAUGAAAUAUUUAAAGUAAUGAAAAUAAUUUAAAAAUAUUAUUUUUAAAAAAAUUAUGAACCUAUCUAAGCUAAUGGAAUCAGAAUGAUUGGGUUAAAUUUAAAAUUCAAUUUGAGUACAAUUUCGAUCACUAAAUUCACACAAUGAACUAAAAUUUGCCAUGUUAUCUUCUUCCAUCUUAAUCUAAAUUUAUUUAUUUUUCUUUGGUUGUCUAAUACUCUUUGGUAUUCAUGUCCCAAUUAAAUUUAAAGUCAAAUUAAAUUGAGUCUCUAAAUAAAACAAGUUUUUCUCAAUCCAUGAGAUUAAAACCUUUAUAAAAAUUGAGUUGAUUGAUUAAGUUUUGAACAACAUUUCUUCACUAAAUAUUGGAAAGUAAUGGUUCAAUAUUGGCAUGAAAAGUAAAGAAAAAGAAAAGCAUUGCAAACAUAAAAAGGAAAUUAAUAAUUAAAGCCAUCACUAAUCUCAAUAAAACAUGUCCUUAGCUUCAAAAAAGGAAUAAUCAAAGGACGAAUAUUGUGCCACUUAUAAUGAAGACACCCCAAUUUUGUCUAGCUUUUAUUUUUUUUAAUUGUUUCAAUGUGGAAGAACCCUUUCAAAGCUUUUAUGUUAUUAAUUGGGGUUUCUUCCAAGAGAUAAAUUAAGACUUUUAAUGAAUGGAACAGGAACCCAUUCAUCAAUAUUUUAAUCAAACAAUGACAACCAAAAGUCUAAACAAGAAAGAUUAUAAUAUUAUAUUUUAAUUAAGAGAAUAUAAUAAUGGGGUAAAUAGAUUAUAAAGCAAAUCAUAGUUAAUGGAGCCAAAACAGUCCAAAUAAGAGGCCUCCUUUUGAGGAGCGGAAAGCAUAUACGCAAAAGAAAGCUGGGCUACAUGGUGCCUAAGAGUAGGUAGGGACCAAAAAGUUGGGGAAAAGUAUUGUGAGGUUGUGAAUGUAAGAUUAAAGAAUAAAUUGGUCAUUCUGUUAAAAAUAUUAUUCAUUUUCAAUGUUAAAAAUUAGUUUAUAUAUGUCAGCAUAAGAUACAUGUGGCUAGUCAUGUGUAAUUAUCUAGUUAUUUUGUCAGCUACACUAGUUUUUAAUAGUAAAAAUAGAUGAAAUUUUGAAUAGAAUGGACCAAUUACUUUUUAAUCUAACUUAUGAGGGCUAAUUUGCCCAUUUUUAAGUAAAUGAGACAAUGUAAUUUGACUCUUGGUAUAGGGCUUUCAUGGUACUUUUACCAUAAUUUUGUGUUGGGAGGUCAAAAUUAAAUCAUAAAUUUUUCGGAACAACAAAUUGUAAUUUUAUCAAUGUUUUAACAAAUAUUUAAGUGGUUAAAACUUGAUAUUAGUCUCUGUACUUUGCAAAAGUUAUGGAUUUAAUCUUUAGACUUUAAUAUAGUCAUUUUUAGUCCCUAUACUUUUCAAACUUAAAAAUCACAGUCCUUACCAAACAACAAAAGUUAAAUUCAUUAAGUUCUAUUAUUUCGAAAAUUAGAUAGUUGAACAUAUAAUCAUAUGUAUAAUGUCAUGCCAGCUUGUUAUUUUCACAUAUACUAACUAAAAAUCUAGUUAAUGAAUUAUUUUCACAUAUACUAACUAAAAAUCUAGUUACUGAAUUAACGACUAUCAUUUGCAUCAAGACUAGAAUUUUAAAAUUCGAAAAGUAUAGGGACUUAAAAUGAUUCAAUUGGAGAAUAUAGACUAAAUCUAUAACUAUUAGCAUAGUACAUGAUCGGUAAUUGAAUUUAAUCAAAUGGAUUUAACUACUACUGCUCUGAUUAAGAUUAAAAUUUCAAAAUUAGAUAAGUACAGAGAUUAAAAUUAACCAGUUCAAAAAUACAAAAACUAAAAUUGGCCAAACUAUAAAGAUUAAAUCUACAACUUUUACAAAUUACAUGAACUAAUAACAGAAUUUAACCUAUUGAAGUAGUAUUUGAAGGAACAAGGGAGCUAAUGCUUAUGUCAACAUUUCUUGAAUUUGUCCCUGGUAACAAGUCAAGAUAAGCUAGUAUUCAUAUUGUGUCCAUAUGAUUUCUAUAUGUUAUUAUCGUAUUUAAUAUAUAUUUAUUUAAUUAUAUAUUUGUAUGGCUCUGCCAGAAAAUUUUUCGUUUAAAUCCUUUAAAUUUUUAUAAUUUUAAAUUAGUAAAGAUAACAUUAUACUUUGACCUCUCCUAAAAUGAUAAAAGUUUGAUUUAAUCUUUUAAAAAUUAUAAAGAUAUAGGGCUAUUGAAAUAGUGAAAUUACAAUUUGAUUUCGACUCCUAAAAUUUUUUUUGACUUCGUGGCUGCAUAUUUGUGUUUUUUUUUCUUAUUGUAUUAGGUAUCCUACACCUAAACUGAAUUCUUUCUGGUUAAAGACUCUCUUUCUUACUCUGGAACAAUUAGGAGAUUCUCUAGAAGAAAUACGGGGUUCUGCUUUUGGCAACAACUCAAUCAUGUAUGAUGGAAUCAUCAAAGAUUUGACCUUUUUGAACUCUGUCUGUAACUCACUAUAGGCUCGGGAAACAAAGAGAAGAUGUGUACAAACGAGAUAUCCAGCAACAAGAAGAAGGAAAAGGAUUGAAUAGAGGAAUUCCUGAACAUUUGGCGAUCUCAAAUGUGUCGAUAUCAAUGGUGACUCAUUAUUUCGAUGAAUCAUUUCUUCGGACAAAAGAAAAUUAUGUAAACACUUACUCGAAAUCUCACUUAUCAGAUUCCAUUGUGGAAGACACAAAUUUUUCUGAAGAAUUCGCCAUGAUAUAUCUGAUCCAUGCAUAAUAUCAUGGAAAAUGGACAAAAAUUUUUGACUACUACUUAGUAUCGGCAAUAAAUCUGAAAAAGUAUCUAAAAAUAUCAAAUUUAGAUAUUUAUACCCUGUCGAAGUAAAAAACCAUGACUUAUAUGUUUGGAAUAGAUUCUGUUUUAAGAGAGUUAAAAAAGCACUACCUCGUUGAACGUGUUUUAAUUAUGGCAAGGUCUAAUUGGUUCUCCAUUCAUCUCUCAAUAUUGGAGCCCAUUAUGUUGAUUAUGGGCCUCAAGAUCAAAACUUGGCUGAGUUGCUUGGUCCAAUGUUAACCGAAUAGGGACAAUUUAACCUUGUAAAGCCCAAAAAUACAAAUAAUACUAGAAUUCUCUCAACCACUUUGUCGGUGAAAAAUAUUUUUUAGAAAUAUUAUUUUAUAAAAACUAAUAUUGAUUUUGAAAAGGAAAUAACAUUUUUAAGUAAAUAAUUAUUUUUAAAAAAAAAUUGAAAGGGCUAAAUAGUUCUAUAUGUACGUAAAUUAACUUUAUCCAUGUGCCAAAGCCCGAUUCAAAAAAUUUUCAAGCCUAAGUUCGAAUUUGACCUUGUCCAAAGUUAUUAAAACUGGAUUGGAUCAAUCGAUCGAUACAUCGAUUCAAGGCAAAAAAGAAAUUAAUUAAUCCAAGAAUUGAUAUGAAAAUAGAUUAAAUUAAAUUAUUAAUUUUUAUAAGGGCUCAAAAUGUAAUUUUUUAUUUAAUUACAGGGUUGAAAUGAAUUAAAGUGAAUUAUUAUUUCUAAAAGGGACUGAAAAAGAAUAUUAUACUAUUUAAUUAAGGGGCUAAAGUCCCUAACCUACCUCCUAGUUACGCUUUAUAUAUGUAUAUACUAAAAAUUGUAACAUGUGUGUGAAAGAAGUUAUAUAUGAUAAUUGGUAGUUAUAGGUUGCGUUGGUUUCAUAAAAAAAUAUUUACAAAAAAUUAUUUUGUAUUUUUUUUAUAUUUAUUUCAUGAAAAGCAGCUUGUCAACAUAAAAUUAUUUACAAGUCAGUGGAAAAUAAGCCUCUUUUUUAUAAAUUGACUUAUCUAUUUUAAAAGCAUAAGUUAUUUUCUAAAAAAGAGCUCGUUUAUAAGUAAUUUUAUUUUUAUAUAAAAAUUAAUUUGAAUUAAACUUAAAAUUAUUAUAUUAAUGAUAAAUUUUAAUUUUAAUUUUAAUUUUAAAAUAUUUUUAAAAAAUAUAUAGUUUUAAUAUCAAAUAUUAUAAUAUUCAAUGUUAUUAAACAUACAUAUUUAAUUAUUUAUAUUUAUUAAUAUAAUUAAUAUGAUUUAUUAUUUUAAUAAGUUAUUUAAUAUUUAUAUUCAUAUUUGUUUAAAUCAUGCUUAGCUUCAUUUAUCCUUCCAACUCUAAUGUAUCACUAUCCACUCUCAUAUAUUUAAUGUAUGUAAUUUAAAUUAAGUUUUAAUUAGGCGUUGCAUAUUAUUAAAUUUAUAUAUGAUAUUAAUUAUUAUAAAAUAUUAUCUUACUAUAAAAUAAAUUCCGGUUGUCAAAAGAAAAUGAUACUAUAAUAUUUUGUAACAAAUAUAUAUAUAUAUGUUGUGUUUGUUUACUUAGAACAAUUUUUAGAAAAUGGUCUCAGAAAAAUUUGUCAAACAACGGAAAAUAUUUUAUACAGAAUCAUCCAAACACCAGAAAAUAUUAAUUUUUCUAAGAAAAUUUCAAAUACUUUUUUUUUUGAAAGUUGUUUUUAGUGAGACAGGUACUACAUUAUUAUUUUUAAGAAAUAAAGGAUUUAUAAAAAUUUUAAAUUACAUUUACUCUUAUUUAUUUUAUUUUUAUUAUGAAUGUGUUGUUUUAAUUUAUUUCUUCUCAUUUAAUUAACUCAAUUCAAAAGUUCUAUUUAUAGUAUAAAUAUAUUUAAUUGGUCCGGCAUAUGAUGGGCCUUAUUUAUAUAUUUAGGCAUGUCAUGUAACAUAUUGGGCCUCUAGAUGGGUUUUAGGAACAAUCUGAUUUUAAUUUAGUAGGUUAGUUUUUUUUAGAAAAUGUAGACUAGAUGUAGGAUGAGAUUUAUAUAUAGGUAAAACUAUCAUGGAAAUUUAUACAUUGGAUCAAAGAGUAAACUGGUCUUUCAGUUAAAAUUUCCAUCUAUUUCUAUUAUUAAGUGAGAAUGGAUUACUGUCUAGUUGCUUGAAUUAGUUUCUUCACGUCAGCGUAAAGUACAAGAGACAAAUUAAUUUGUUAAAAAUUUCCAUCAAUUCUAUCCAUCUCGCUAUUUGUUUAAAAUUCUAUUUAUUUUUAACAAAAGAGCUACUUUGCUUUUUAACUUAAGGACUAAUUUAUCAAAUUUUAAAGUGAAAAGGGGUGAAACGCGAUUUGAUUCUUAAUAAAAAGACUCAAUGGUAGCUCUACCAUUUGGAGAUAAACAAUAGAUACAUAAGUAUGCAAAGCAAUAGAUAUACAAUAAAACUAGUGAUAUUUCUAGAUCAAAUUCUUUGAUGUACUCUUUAGACUAAGAAUUUAUGUGGAGAUCACUUGUUUUGAUAGAUACAAGGGACAAAUUAUAUUAUUAAAGGAUAUAAAACACAUACUAUAUAGUAGCUAGCUAGGAUAUGGACUUUUACAUUUUCAUCAUUUUAUCUUUUUUCUCAUGCCUACUUAUCUUUGUCUUAAUUGAAACCAUGCCCAAGUAGAAAUGGAUUUAAUUAUUGUCUUAGUUUCUCAAUUAUGUUGAGAUUAAAUUUGUUUAUGGGUUGGAUUAUUCGUCCAAGUUCGAAGGCCCGUUCAAAAUUUAGGAGGAUUUAGAUAAAAAUAUUAGGCUUAAAAAUGGGUUUGAGCAAAAAUAUUAGGCCUGUUUAAAUUAUGGGUCAGGCUUGGGCUUGAACAUUCAAGGCUCGAGCUCAACCCGACCCGACCAUUUUUAAGUCUUUAAAACUUAAUAUUAUGUUAUUUUUAUAUAUUAUGUAAUUUAUAACACAUAAAAAAUAAAUCUAUACUAAAAAUAUAAUACUACUCUAAUGUAAACAUUAAAAUAAUGUUAAGAUUGCUAUAUAAAAAUAUUCAAUAAAAAUAUUUAAAAUUAUUAAAUAUUAAAUUAAAAUAAUGCAAUUUUUUUAAAAAAUAAUAUGAGUGAGCCUAAAAUGAGAUUGGGUUAGUCUUUUACAAAUAUAGGUGGGCUUGAGCGAAAUUUUAGGCCUAUAUUUUGGGCAGGGUCAAGCUUGGGCAAACAUAAAUUAUGUUAAUAUCAUGCUUAAACUGAUCUGAAUCCAACUAAUGAACACCUCAGAAAUUUAGGAUUUAAUUUGUCUGAUUUAAUUUUGAUCAAAUUGAUAACAAUGUUAAUUGUUGUGAUUUAUAUAUAUUAUUUGUACUUAACCACUAAUAAAUUUACAUGGCAGAUCAAUCUUUAAGCUUUUUUUUUUAUUUUUUAAAUUUAUAUAAUCACUUUAACUUAGACUUUUCCAUGGGUCGGGCUACUCAUCCAAGUUCGAAGGCCCACCAAAAUUUGGUAGGGUUUGGGCAAAAAUAUUAGACUUGAAAAAUUGAUUUGGGUAAAAAAUUGUCCCGUUUAAAAUAUGGGUCAGAUUCAAGCUUGAUCAUUCAAUGCCUUAGCUUGGUCCAACCCGACCUAUUUCUAAUAUAUUAUAUUGUGUUAUUUUUAUAUGAUGUAUAAUUUAUAACACACACUAAAAUUAAAUCUAUAGUAAUAUAUAAUACUAUAAUGUAAACAUUAAAAAAAUAUUAAGAUGUCUAUAUAUAAAAUUUUAAAAAUGAAAAAUAUAUAAAAUUGGUUAAAAAUUAAGUUAAAAAAAAAGGGCAAGCCUAAAAUGAGCUUGGGUUAGCCUCUCACAAAUAUGAACGGGUUUAAGUUAAAUUUUAGACCUAUAUUUCGAGUUAGGUCAGGCUUGAGCUAGUAUAAAGUAUGUUAAUAUCAUGCUUAAGCGGGAUUUGACUUAUCAACACCUCUAUUUUAAUCGCAACAACUAAAAAUAUUAUGAGUUCGAACGUUUUAGGAAACAAAUGAAACUAAACUAAAGUUUAAAAAUGAAACCUCAAUUUUAUUAUAGACUAAAACUAGAAUAAACCACUAAAAAUGAACCGAUAAGAGCCAUAUUAAUAAAAUCAUAGAUGUGGCACAUUUCAUCCUUAACUAAACCUCGUUACACACUAGAAAAAUUAUUUAAUAUUAAUGAUCCAACUUAAUUACAACCAAACAAUUCUUUAAAAGUCAACUUGAUUGAUUGCUUAAUUAGUAUGUUUCAAUGGAAGGAGUCUAUAUUUUAUUAACUAAGCAAAGGGACAACAAAUUAAAGUCUUUUUGUAUUAAUAUUUGAUGGCAAGCAAUUAGAGGACGACGAUGCAAACAAUGGGUAUAGAGAAAAAAAAAUUAAGAUUAAUUCGAGGAAGUAGAUCAUUUCUCUGUAUUCAUUUGCUUCUAAAAUCACCUUUCUUUGACAUAUCCAUGAUAAUUAAGUUUAAAAUAUAAUAAGGAUAAUCUCUUACUAGUCAUUUUCUUUUUUUAAAAAAGUAUGGGUGAAGUUGUUUAGGAAUCAAAUAUGAGAUUAAUGUGGACUGAAAACAUGAACUCAAAUUCUUUAUUCUUCUUCUUGUGAUUUAAUCGACGAGUUUUACUAGUAGCUUUGAAAAGAUAAUAAAUAGGCUAUAAAUUAUAAUGGUUAAUUUAGGUUUUUAGUAAAACUAGAAAUGUUGUUCACCAAAGUAAAAGAAAAAGUUAAUUCAAAGAGAAUAAACCAACAAGAUAGAAAAUUUAGAUACGUAUUGAAAAUUUGGAUAGAGAAUUUAGAAACCAACAAGGUUGAGAUAGAUAAUUUCAUUGGAAAUGUUCUGCAAGUAAUAUUUGAAAAAGCAUUGGUUUGAUUUUCUUCUCCUGGAAACAGAUGUUGUAACAAAUUUUUCGACCCACUAUUUUGGAAGUUAAACACGGGAGUAAAAGAAUAGCAAAAAAACUAUAAUUGUUAAUGCAAUUCGAAUUAACAAUUUCACUACUGUAGAGUUUAGCUCAGAGAAUAAAUUCGCUAAUUAUUAACAGUUGAUUAAAGCCCAAUCAACUCAACUCUCACAUGGAUAAUUGCAGCCUCAGUGUUGUCUAAUUGUUUGCACUCCCACUCCCCACAAUAACUGAUGAAUGUCAAAAGUAACAUAUUUUAAUUUCAUUCUUAAUGCAUUUUUGGGUGAUUAAUCAAUGGAAAAUGGUGAAUUUUAUGCUCCUAUAAUUCUUUAAAUUCAUGUUUCUAUACUUAGGAGAAUAUUUGGGAGUAAAACGAGCGAAAACAUACUGUAAAUCGAAUGAUUGGAGCAGAUUUCAAGAGCCACACGGGCUGGGCCUUCCUACACAGCUAUGUAAGCCAUAUGACCCUAUGCCAGACCGUGUGGAUUUCGCAAUUCGCACUCCGAACACGUGGAAAAAUAUAAUUUUUAGGUUUUCCGGGCAUUUUAAGACCUAUAAAUACCAAAUAUAAGAAGAGGAGAGGGGCCCACCAGAGAAGAUUGAAGAAAACAACUCGAAAAAUGCCAUUGAAGUAAAUUCUGAAGUAGAUUUCCAUCAAGAUUGAAGAUUUCCUUUUAAUCUCUUUGAAGUUUAUUAUGAGUUCCUUGAUUUUUUGUGGUUAUACUGAUUUUGAGAUGUUUUUAUUCGCGAUUAUGAACUAAUUUUCUAAAUACCUAGGGGAGAUGAACCCUAUGAUGAAUUUUGUCUUUUGAUUUCUGUUUUACGCAAUAAUACUUGAAUCUUGUUCUCAGUUAUGUGUGCUUAAUUCAUGAUUUAAUAUUUCUGAAUUAUUAAUUCAUGUUUGAUGUGCUUAAUUCAGAGGAGGAAUAGACCCUAUUUAAGAGUAGAUCUAACAUAAUUGAGCCUGAAAUGACCGGAAUCCAAGAUAACUUGAUCUUGACAUCUGCUCUUUUUGACACAAUACCUAGAACUACCCAUAGUCCCUCCCAACCUAUAAAUAGGAGGAUAAUGUGCUUCAGUGCACUCGAACCCACAUCCUCCUACAUUGACAAUAAUGUCCAUGUCAAUCGAGCUAAGACUUAAUCGAUUUCAUAUAUAUUUUUUAAAUAUAAAUAUUUAUUUGAUAAACUGAUGAUUUUUUUUUAAAAUUUUAUAAGUAAACUUAAAAAAUUAUCAUGAUUCUCAAUGAUUAUUUUUAGUUUUUUUUAAAUACCAAUUAAUAUAUAAAAUUGCCACAACUAAUAUAUAAAACAACAAUCCCAUUAAUAAAUAUUAAACAUGAAAAUAAAACAAUAUAUGGUAAAUAAAAGAAUCAUGAAUCAUGUAAUUACGAUCUUAUGAAAUAUAUUUUCAAUAAUUUUUGAAACAGGAAUGUUUCUUAUCUCUACACUAUAUACUUAUCAAUACAACAAAAUUAAAUUGAAAAUGCAUGAGAAAAUUGAACCAAUGAAAUAGAGUUGGCGUUGCAGCCAAAGUAUGACAUUGUACCUGCAAACACAUAGAGGAAUAGGAUAGCUAGCUAGAUGAGUUUGAGUAGGCAAAUUAAAAUUUAAUUAUAAUAGCACAAAAUCCAAAUGCUUAUUACAAGAUUUGGGGGAUACGCCCGGUGUUAGGGUUUCACCUUUAUCUCUAUAUCUUUCUUUUCCCCUCUUUUUAACCCCCAUUACUCUCUCUAUAUAGCCCAUUCUCCCCCAUCUCCAUCACCUAUCUUAAAUGUUUCAAGUGCCAUGGCUACUGAGCUUGGCCUUCUCUCAUUGAACCACCUUCAAAAGUUAGCUCAAUCUCAACAACACCAGACCCAUCAUCAUCAUCAUCAUCAUCAUCAAGUUAACCCUAAUUCAACGGCUGGCUCGUGGAUGUGGAACCCCAUCAAGGCUCAAGAAGUACCCCAUGAACCAGAUGAUUAUGAGUCAUGGGAAGUUAAGGCCUUUGCUGAAGAAACAAGCAAUGCUAUGGGCACAACUUGGCCACCAAGGUCAUAUACUUGCACUUUUUGCCGACGAGAAUUCCGGUCAGCUCAAGCACUCGGUGGUCACAUGAACGUUCACCGCCGUGACAGAGCUCGUCUUCACCAAACACAACCACCACCCCACGGUGGUGAUGCUACUACUGGUCCAUUAAUCAACCAUACUCUCCUCUACCAAUUCCCUAGCCCUAAUGGUCUUUUCUUCACUUCUUCACCUACCAACAAUGCAUGUUCCAUUGAUUCACCUUACCAUCCUUCGGUGCCGCCGAAAAAUUUUCCGGCAACCCCUCCGGGGUUGAAUAGUUCUUCUUCUCUUUGUUCCUCAUCUCAAGAUCUCAAGGAAACAUCAAUGGAAGAUCUUGAUCUAGAACUUCGAUUAGGGCAUAGACCAAAAACAACAAUAAAAGAACAAAAUCAAAGAGCUUGAGUUUGCAAUUUUUUUACAUUUAUAUAUAUUUUCCAUGUUUGAGAUAUAGUUUUGAUUAACUUGGUGUGAGAUUUUUUUUGUUAUUUUUUUCUUCAAAAUUUUUUAUUUACUUGUAUGUGUGGAAGUGAAGAAAACAAAGAACGAUUCAUUAUUAUAUUGGUAUUGUUCAUAUCUGUUUACGAAAUUUAUUAUUAUAAUUAUUUGGAAGAAUUAAAGGAAAACAAGAUUAGGGUUUGAGUGAAAAUGUGGUAAAAUUUUUGCAGUGCAGUGUCAUUAUCUGGGUUACAGAUUUUUUUCUGCAUAGAUUCAGUGUUUCUCUCUCUUUGGGCAUAUAUUUCCGUGGGCAUUAUUUAUUAUAAAUUUUAAAGGCAAUUGGAUUGCCAUUAGUUUCUGCAUUUAGCUACUUGGGAAACUAAGUAUUUUUACCAAAAAUAAAAUGAAAUUUAUGGAUGAAAUUGAUCGAAAAGAUAGAUAAAAUUAAUUUAAGCAAAUUAAUUCUAGGAAGGUUAAUUAUUUUUAUCGCAUUUGUUACUUGAAUUUAAAAUAAUUUGAAUCUAAAAUAAUUCGAAUGAGUAACCUAAAAUGAUUUGAUCACAAAAAAUUCUUUGUUCAAAUUUAAAUGAUACAAAACUUAUAAUAACUUGGAAUAUAAAAUGACCUAACCCCGAACAAUCCGAACCUGAAAUAACUUGAACUUGAAAUUGGUCCGAAUCAAAAAUAUUGAAAAUUUAAAAACUCGAAUUGACUCAAUCCAAAUUGAUCCAAUUCAAAACCAUCUUAGCGUAACCAACUGAAAUGUAAUUCUAGGAAGGGUUCAUCAUUUCCAUCAUAUUGACAGUCAAUUUUGACUCAAAUUUUAAAAUUCGACCUGAUGAACUUGAAUUCAAACCCAAUACAACCCUAUUAGGCCUAAAAAGACAACAAUCCAAAUUUAAAUUGAUCAGAACUCAAAUUGACUCAAAUCCAAAAUGAACUAAAUGCAAAAUAACUUGAACCCAAAAUAAUCUGACCAAAUAACUCAAAAUGGUCUAAAUUUAAAAUGAUAAAACCCAACAUGAUCUAAACCGAAAAAAACCUUGUCUCAAACCUGAAUGACUCGAACCUAAAUUAACUCAAACUUAAACAACUUGAACCUGAAAUAAUCUAAACCUAAAUUUGACCUGAAUCAAUAUAACCUAAAAAUUUUAAAACUCAAAUUAACUCAAUCCAAAAACAACUUAGAUUUCACCAAUGGUCUGCUCUAAUCAAAUUGCAUUAUAUAUAUUUAUGAUAUAGAAUGCUACAUUCUUUUUUCUAAUAAAGUGAUAUAUACCUCACUUAUUCAGGUGUGCAGGACAUUAAUUUCAUUAUUAUACCAUUUUACUUGCGUUUGGGUAUUUAUUUACAUUUGAAUUGAUUAUCUUCUUCAUGAUCGAAAAGUUUUGAGAAGAGAAAUAAAAGAAAAAGAAUUAAUAAAAGCGAAAAUAUAUUAAAUAAAAAAUGUUGGGUGGAGAGAAAAUAUAUCAAAUGUGCUUUCAAUUUAACCCACGAAAACCAAAGACUACCCCUCUUUCCUUUUUUGCAGUUAAGACAUUCUUUGGUAUUAUCUCAUAGGGAUUUGUGAAUCUUUUAUGAAUAUAAAUGCUUCACCACAAAAUAAAAUAAUUAAAUCACAAGAUAUAGGAUUUUAUUUUAAAUGAUAGUUUAUAAUUUAUAAAUCUUAUAGUAGGUUUUGACACAAUGUAUAGAAUUACUCAUAGUCUCUCCCUAACGCUUAAAUAGAAAGAUAAUACGCUUCAGCACACAUGAACCAACAUCCUCUUACAUUGACAAUAAUAUUAUUAAUAUUGUAGUCAGAACUAAAAUUCAAAUCUCAAUAAACAAAAUUUAAGAGAUGAAGAAAGGCUAACUUAUUAUUAUAUAAUUGAUUAAAAAUAAUUAAGGUUUUUUUGAAAUGGUAAAAUUAUUUCUUUUUAAAAUUUAUUGUAUUAUAUGUUCAAAUUUUAUUAUAAUUGAGUUUUUAUGGAUUUUAUAUAAAAAUGUAAAAAUAUCCUCAUAAUAAUAAAAUGAUAUUUUAAUAAUUUUUCAACUAAAUCGAUGCUUGCUUAAUUCGUAACACUAAUUUAAUUAAUAAUUUAAUAGAGAGAAAAAUAAAACCCCCUCUAGCUAUAUUACCAACUAAAUCUAUCUAAUGUACGACAUUUAAACGUAAUAUUAGAUUGAUUUUUUUACUUUUUAAAUAUUUUGAAAAUUAGCUGAUUGAGUCUCAAUUCGAUUGUAUGAGCAUUAUUGUCAAUGUAGUAGGAUGUGGGUUCGAGCGUGUUAAAGUACAUUAUCCUCCUUUUUAUGGGUUGGGAAGAGACUAUGAGUAGUUUUAAGUAUUGUGUCAAAAAAGAACAGAUAUGAUCAGAAUAUAUAAUGAAAUACAUUAUUAAAAAUGAAGUUAAAUUGUUAGUACAUUUAAUAUUCAAUGAGACAGAGUUUUGAGUUCUACCUUCGAUUCAAUGGGUGCCAUGGAGAAGAAAUAUGUGAGGGGAAAUGUACUUAGCCAAAGAUGACCAAAGGAUUCACAAUGAUUGGAGUUUAGUCAAUUCAUUUUAAAAAUUAAUUUUUUUAAAAUUUCUAAAUUUAAAUUUAAGUUAUUUCUAUUACCAGUGCACCCUAGUGUUGGUGUUCAACUUUUAAGACCUGCAAAACUACAUAUGCAGCUAGCUAGCCAGCCUUCCAUUUAAUUGCCAAAAUGGAAGCCAAAGUAACAAACAUUCCCUUAAAUUCGGAUCAAAAUGCUAGAGUUUUUUUUUAAAAACCAUUUAUUUCCAUGUCAUUUUCUUGUUUUCUGAUCCCAACUGUGCCCUCCGUCACCUAAAGAUGAAAGGUCAAAUUGUGAUUUUGGUCCCUUUAUUAUAUAUACUCAAAUUUAAGAUGAGUAAAUUACAUUAGUAGUCACUCAACUAUGUUUCUUUUUUCUUUUUUGGUCACCCAACUAUGAAAAGUUAGAAAAUGGUCAUCCAACUAUUAAAAGUUACAAAUUGGUCACUCAACUAUUCAAUUUUGUCUUUUUUGGUCACCCAACUAUAUUGGAGUUUUGAGUGUCCAUUUUUGUGUUAGUCAAUUGGUGACCAAAAAGACAAAAUUGAAUAGUUGGGGUAAUCAUUUUGUAACUUUUCAUAGUUGGGUGAACAAAAAAGAAAAAAACAUAGUUAGUGACUACUAAUGUAGUUUACCCAUUUAAGAUUUAAUCCAUAUACUUUAAUUUGACAUAAUUAAAUCUCUUUACUUUUAUAAUGUUAUUAAUCAGAUCAAUAACUAACACGGUUUAUUAUUCUUGUUAGGAUAUUGACAUGAUUUUUUCUUAAAAACUCUCUUUUUGAACACUAAAGAAUCAAUGUCCACAUGAUGAAUUAGAAAAUGUACCUUUUAAGAAAUAAUCUAUGCCAGUAUUUUAUUUAAAAGGAUCAAAUUAUGCCAAAUUAAUUAUGAAGACUAACUCCCAAAUUAAAGCACUAUAGAGGGAUCAAAACAACAAUUUGACCAAAAUCAAAUUUACUUAUGAAUCCUUACCCUCUUUAAACUCAAAACACUACCACUGCAUGUGUAUUUUGUCUGUCAAACUAUCUAAUGGGGAGUAAUUAAUAUUCACACACAUAAAUAUAAAUAUUUGUGGUCCAUUCAAUUCUACAGAGAGGUGAUCAGUGACCCACAAAAACUCAUGGCCUGAAAUUGAAUUUGGCUGAGCUAGCCAUGUGAAGGCUUCAUGGCUUCAUGUGUAUCAUGUGGCACUGUUAAACAAGCACACAGGCCAUUUUUAUUUCCUUGAGUUCACUUAAAAUUUAGAUUUAAUUAAUUCAAUUUAAUUUAAUUUAAUUAUUAAAAUUAAAUAAUUUAAAUUUGAAAAUAACCUAAAAGCAAAAUAAUUCGAUUCAGAAUGAUCUAAACAAGUAAUCCGGAAUGAACUAACCGACCUAAAUAGAAAAAUUAACAUGACUAACUUAAUUUACCUAAAAUCAAAAUAACUCAACUCAAAAUGACCCAAACAAAUAAUUUGAAAUGAACUAACUCUUGAAUAACUUGAUUAGAAAAACCAACAUAGCUAACCCAAAUAACCUAAAACCAAAAUAACCUGAAUCAAUAAAAUUUAUUUUAAAAUCCGAAUCCCACCCACCCAACUUGUUAAUUUAUUUCUUAACAAACAGUAAUUAAUGACCACCAAACUAUAUAUGAAGCCUUCAAUUUAUCAACAUGGCCCUCGUUUCUACAACUUAGAGUUUAUAAAGAAACCCCAACAUGGAACAUUCCCCUCUGGAUUUGAAAUAAGCUGGAUGAAUUAGUUUGCAGGAAAAGUACACGAAUUUUACACACUUUAACUGUUUAAAAGAUAGAUAUAAGGGGCAAGAUAUAGAAUUAGUUUACUAACAAAGUACCAUAAGUUUUUUGUAAGCUGAUGAAGGCAUUAUUAGGUCAAUGAGAAUGAUGGUUAUAAUGAAGAUAAAUAAGGUUUAUGUAUAGAGAGAGUUUGCCAGACAUAAUAAAUAUAGCAUGUAUGUAUGUACGUUACUGAAAAAACAAGCUUUGCAGAGAGAUAAGGGAUUGGACCACCUUUCACUUCACUCCUAAAUUGGCUGCAAAUUGCAAUGCAUUGAGGUUCGAGGAAUAGUACUUUCAUGCACUUACAAGAUGGAUGGAGUAAGAAAAUUGUUUCAACGGAACCAGAAAUGAAUCAUGAAUUAUUGAAGGGCUAAAGUGCAAUUUACCAUUAUAUUAACAUGUACUUUCAUAAAAAACAAAUUAAGAGGCUUUGCUUUCAUCCCUGAUGCCAUAGUCAUAUACCCUUUACUCGAUCCUCUUUUUACCUUAUUUGAGUUAAAAUCUUUGUUUCCACCCUUCACUACACUUGUCCCUAGUCGAGUUUAUUAAAAGAGAAUUUCAAAAGGAGUAUUGCUUAGAACUAGUUUAGCAUUAUUGUUAGAAAAUGUUUAAGUGAAAAAAGUGGUUGACUGAACUAUAAAUGGAGUGGCAAAAGAACAUGCGCUCUAUUGGCUGAUUUGUUGUGUGGCGAGUUUGUGGUUGAUUUUGUUGGCGCAAAAUGGACGUGUUUAAGAACAAGGCGCGGUACCAUUCGAUGAGAUUAUUUUUCUGAUUAAACAUGGGUCUUUAUUUUGGAUUAAAGCUUCAUUGGUAACAGGAUCUAUUUGUGAGGCUACACAGUGGGAGGACCCCUAUGCUUGCAUUCCCUCUUCCUGUUCAAUUAGUAACUGAAUUAAUGCUUAGUGAUCACUUCUUGGAGUGAGAUUUCUCAAAUUUAAUGUAGAUGGUAUUUCGAGAGGAUCUUCAUAUCAAGUUGGUUGUGGUGGUGUUUUUAGAAAUGAAUUGGGUAAAUUGUUUUCUUUAUUUUCUCAGUCUUUUGGUUUCUAAGAUGUUGGUUCAGUUGAGUUAAUAUCAUUCGGAGAUCUUUAUCAAGAUAAAAUAGUUGAGUCAGAAUUAAAUUUUAUUGUUUUAUGAUCUUUUAAAUCACUUACUCGAUUUUGGAAAUAUGUCGAAACUUUCAAAGUCAUUGAUCAUUGUAUUAUAAUGAUUCUCGAUGUCAAAAUUAUUUAUGUCCUGUGGAAAGUUAAUAAUUGGAUAGAUUUUUUAACAAAUAUAAGCAUAAAUGGAAACACUAUCUUCAUAGUUUAGGAUUGAAUGUCAUCGUGGUGUUGUUGUAAUUGUAGAUAUUAUUUUAUCUAUUUCAUUUUAAUAAAUUUUCUUGAUUCAGCAAAAAAAAAAAAUUGAUGGUAAGGCUACCAAAAAGGUGAAGAACAAUUUUUAAAAAUUUAAAAUCAUUAAAAUAAAUAAAAAUUAUAUAAAAUUAUAUUUUUUUUUAAUUUUAAAAAAUUAAUUCAACGCUGAUGUGCCACCUAUGUGGCAAUUCACGUGUAUGCCACAUCAACAAAGUUAACAAAUGUUACCUUUUCUAUCAAUUUUGAGGUGAUUUGAUAAGAAAUGCAAAUUCAAGAGCUUAAAAAAUAAAAAAUUAAAUGAAUGACUUUUUUUUUUUUAUAAAACUGAAAAACCAAAUAGGUCAUUAUGUCAAAAUAACAAUAAUUAUAUAUUGGCUAAACUAUCAAAAUAGUCACUUUUGUUUACCUCAAAUUACAUUUUAGUCACUUAUGUUUGAAAUGUUACGUUUUAGUCACUUAUGUUAACGUGUUGUAACAUUUUAGUUACUGAGCCGUUAAUUAUUGUUAACGGUAUAAUGGUAAGUUGACGUGGCACGUUAAAUCAUCAUUUUAAACAAAAAUUUUAGGUUAAAUUCUACAAUUGAUCCCUAUAUUUUUUCAUUUUGAGCAAUUUAAUUUUUUUUCUUUUAUGUUCUUUUAACAUUCUUUUUUUUCCAUUCUCUUCUGCUUCUCCCUUUGUUUUCCUCCUUACUUCAUUUCUUUUAAUGUGGUUUUUCUAUAUUUUCCAUUUGUUAAAACUAGUCCACAAGCUCACCUUACUCAAAAAAAAUUAAAUUUUUCAAAAAAAAUAAAAAUAUAGGGACUAGUUUUAACAAAUGGAAAAUAUAAAAAAAACCACGUUAAAAGAAAUGAAGAAGGGAGGAAAAUAGAGGGAGAAGUAGGAAAGAAUGAAAAAUAAAGAAAAAAAAAAGAAAGUUAAAAAAACAUGAAAGAAGAAAAUUAAAUUGCUCAAAAUGAAAAAAUAUGGGGACCGACUGUAUAAAUUAACCUAAAUUUUUUGUUUGAAAUGAUGAUUUAACGUGCCAUUAGCUUACCGUUACACCGUUAACGGAAAUUAACAGCUCAAUAACUAAAAUGUUACAAUGCGCUAACAUAAGUGACUAAAACGUAGUAUUUCAAACAUAAGUGACUAAAAUGUAACCUGAGGUAAACAUAAGUGACUAUUUUAAUAGUUUACUCUAAUAUAUUUGUUGUGGUCAAAAUAAUUUACUCAUUUAUUUGGAUUUUUUUAUAAUAAAAAAUAAAAACCUUAUUAAUAUUAAAGAAAAUUUAGUUGGAGUGAACAAGCAAAAUAAUCAAUUAUCCCAUAAAUUCGACUCUAAAUUCUUUAAUGUGAUUGGUUACAUUAAUUGAGGCGUUGGAGAUCUAUUACAUACAAAAUGGUCCUCCUAUCACAGAAUAAAUCACCUCAUUAACAUCUCUACGCACCUAAAGAAGAGACAAAUAUUAAAACUGAGACUCGAGAUGCAGCAUUUCCACAAAAUCUUAAAUCUAUUUUCGAAUAAGAUCAAACUUAAAAUGUUGCAUCAACUUGACCUGAAUUCAACCCGACUCAUAUUAAAGUUAAUGAAUUUACUAUCCAAGAUAAUGAAUAUCAAAUUAAAACAUAUUAUAAUUUAGUCCAAUUUAUAAACAGUUCUAAUAUCGAGAAAUGGUGAUGAUGAGUGCAUGGGGCUCAUAUUCCUAUGUCCAACAAAGUCAGUAAUCAUUGCCUUUUUCUUCUUAUCUUCAACUGCAUGGGAAGCCACUUCUGUCUGGUCUGGUCCUCCCCUUUAACAAUCCCUGUCAUGUUUAUUAUAGUACGGUCACUAUUUUAUAUAUAAACACUAUCUCAGUUUACUUAGAUUUCUCAUACGUUAAAUUCAGAAUCCGAAAUGGUUGAAAUUUAUAAUAAUUCGAUGAAUCAAAACAAUUUGAAACGAAAUAAUUCAAACUAUAAAUAAUUAUACGUUUGGUAUUAACGUUCAUUUAAGCUUAUCAAAUAAGUGGGUUGGAUUGAUAUUUCAAUUUAGAUCAGUUUAAAAUUUAAUUCAUUCGAGUUUUAGGAUCAACUUUUUUGGACGAGUCAUUGCAUAUUUAGAUUAUUUCAAAUUUUGAUAAUUUUAUAUUUAGAUCAGUUUAAGUUUGGAUCUGUUCAAAUUUAAGUUGGAUGAGUUAAAGUUAUUGAAUUUUCAUGAUCAAAUCAAGUCGGAAUAUGAUUCAUAGAAUAGUUUACCAAUAUAGCCAUAUUUAAGUUAUUCGAGAAUUUAGGCCCAUGUCUUUCAACCGGGCAAAAGCAUUAAUAGGCUCAUGAAGGCUUCAUUUAGGCCCAUUGCUUGCUUGAGUCCAACCCUACUUGCAUGUUAAUAUAUAUGAUGAAUAGAAAAUGGUGUUUCUAGGAAAAGGUCGUGACAUGUUAAUUAGAAUAGUUACGGGCAUUACUUGUUUGAACAUUAUAAAAAGUUGUUGAAAUUAGUUUGGAUAGGUUGGAUCAUGAACAGAUAGUUAUAUAGGUCCAAAGCAAUGUAAACAACCUAUUAACUCGUAAGUCGGUGUGAAUUCAAGUUAAAAAAGAGCAAUUGAAUUAGUAUGCAUAACUCCAUAAACCCUUGAAGUGGAGAAUAAUACACCCUUAAGCAUGUUCAGACUCAUUUUCUCUUACAUGUUUCAAUACCAAUAAUGUCAUCCGAGUUAAAAAUAUAAGAUAAAUUUGACAAAAGUAUCAUGGAGGCCCCUAUAUUAAGAGUUUAAUUACAUUUUGUCCAUUUACUCAAAAAGGGUAAAUUAGUAAUUAUAUAUUAGAUCAAAAAGCAAAUUGGUCAUUUUUGUUAAAAAUUUCAUCCAUUUAUACGGUUAAAAAUUGAAGUGGCUAACAUAUAACCAGGUAGUUACACUUGCCAUGCCACUGUACCUCAUGCUAGUAAUUUUUAAUAGAAUGAUUAGUUUGCUCUUUGAUCUAAUGUAUAAGGAUUAAUUUGUCAACUUUGAGUAGAGUGGUUAAAAUGCAAUCUGACUCAGUGGUAAAUGUACUAUGGAGGCCCAUGCACUAAGAGUCGGAUUACAUUUUGCCCACUAUACUAAAAAAAUGAGUAAUUUAGUUUCUAUAUGUUAAAUAAAAAAGUAAAUUGGUCAUUUCUAUUAAAAAUUUCAUCCAUUUCUAUUGUGUACCUCAUGCUAACUGAAUAACUUGACAACUAUACAUGGUAUGUCACAUGUACCUCAUGUUGACAUAUAGGAAUUAACUUUUAACAAUAAAAAUAGAUGCAAAUUUUAAUAGAAUGAUUAAUUUACUGUCUGAUCUAAUGUAUAGUGACUAAUUUGGCCAUUUUUUUAGUAUAGGAGACGAAAUGCAACCUGAUUCCUAAUACAAGGGCCUCAAUAUACUUUUACCACAUAAAUUUAUACCAAACUAUAGAACUAAAUUUCAAAUUCGAAUAUAGUAAACGGACCAAAACCAAAAUUUAACCUUUUAUACUUGUCCUUUUUAUGCCAAACGUGGGACGAUUACCUUGCAAAACGCAAACUCUCCCCUGUUUCGUCCUAAGAACCUCUCUCCAAUGGCAACUUCAAACUUGAAGCAAACACUAGGCGAUCUAAACAAGGAAUCCUUCAUCUCACUGCUAACCAAAAUCAUAGGUGAAUCCAAGUUCUUACAAAACAACCCACCAGAACUAAUCCCGGAAGAAGACAGGGUAAUCAAACAUGUACUGGAUUGUCUGCUCCCUUACAGCACCACAACCGGUGGUCCUUUGAUCGUUAACCAUGUCACUUAUUUCCCUGGUAGAGGCAAUCUUAUUGUGGAAUAUCCUGGGACUCAACCCGGCAAGAUCUUGUCUUUUGUUGGUAUGCAUAUGGAUGUUGUCACCGCUAACCCCAAUGAUUGGGUACUCCUCUUUUAUCCUUUCAGUAUUUUUAUAGAUUUUGAUUUUGGGUUUCAUUUUUCUUCAUCAUUCAAAACUUGGGUUCUUGUUUAAAUGUUUGAAUGUUUGAGUUUUAGGGUCAUAUUUAAUUUCUGGGUUUGGUUUGUAAUGUUAUGUAAUUGUAAUUGUGUUGUUUAAGGAUUUGGGUGUGUUUUGAUUUUGAUUAAUACUAUGGAUUGUGGCUUGAAUUAGCUUUUUGCAGCACUUAUUUCUGUAUAUAUGUGCUCGGGAUGAAGCUAAUUCAGCACUUUAUAAUAUAUAUAUAUAUUUAUUUAUGCUUGGGGUGAAGUUAAUUUUGCUUAAUUUCAAGUGAUUUACAGUUUUCAUACAAUAGGAGCUAUGGGUUUCGGCUUGAAUUAGCGUUUUGCAGCACUUAUAUAGGUAAGAGUACCAUGGAGGCUUUUUUGAGUCGGAUUACAUUUUACCCCUUCAACUCAAAAAAUAGUCAAAUUAGUCCUUAUACACUUUAGAUCAAAGAGAAAAAGGGUCUUUCUGUUAAAAAUUUCAUCCAUUUCUGUUGUUAAAAACUAGUCCUGAACGCCAAUUUAAGGUACACAUGGCACACUACAUGUCAGUUGUUAGUUAUAUUGUCAGCUUAUAAAUGGAUGAAAUUUCUAACCAGACCAAUUUGCUCUUCAAUCUUAUGUAUAAGGACUAAUUUGCCCAUUAUUUAAGUAGAUGGAGCAAAAUGUAAUCUGACUCCUAGUAUAGGAGCUUUAAUGGUACUUUUACCCACUUAUAUAUUUAUGUGUGUAUAUAUAUUGUUUGGAUGAAGUUAAUUUUGUUUAAUUUCAAGUGAUUUAUAGUUUUCAUCCAGUAGGAACUAUGAUAUUGUGUCUUGGAUAAUUUUUGCUGAAUUUUUUAAUCUUAGAAUGUAAAGUCGAUAAUGGGUUUUUUAUAGGAUUUUGAUCCUUUCUCGUUGAGCAUCGAUGGCGAUAAGCUUCGUGGCCGUGGAACUACUGAUUGUUUGGGACAUGUUGCACUUGUGACUGAACUAAUGAAGAGACUUGCUGAGACAAAACCGAAGCUAGAAUCGACUGUCGUUGCAGUUUUUAUAGCUAAUGAAGAGAACUCGGCAAUAACUGGAGUUGGUGUUGAUGCUUUAGUGAAGGAUGGUUUGCUUGAUAAACUGAAGGGAGGCCCACUGUGCGUAGUUUUCAUAUUAGUAGAUUGAAACAUAUUCCAGAUGGAUAAUGCUUAUUGUUUUUUGUCAUUUUUCAUGUACUGAAUCUUUUGAUUUUGCAGUUUCUGGAUUGAUACAGCUGAUAAACAACCUUGCAUUGGUACCGGUGGUAUGAUACCAUGGAAACUUCAAGUGACGGGGAAGCUUUUUCACAGUGGUUUACCGCACAAGGUAUACAAUAUAAACAAAUAGAAAUCCUAACUAUUCAUGUUUUUUGAUUCUCGAUGUACUUGUUAACUUCAAAGAUUUUCUUUAUCUAUAGGCUAUAAAUGCAUUGGAGCUCGGCAUGGAAGCACUUAAAGAAAUUCAGCUACGGUUUUAUAAAGACUUCCCACCCCAUCCGGAUGAGCAAGUAUAUGGAUUUGCUACACCAUCAACCAUGAAACCAACGCAAUGGAAUUGUAAGUUUUAAACUUUAGAUGAGCUAGUUAUAGUAAAAGUAUUAUAGAGGCCUUUUAACUAGGAGUCAAAUUGCAUUUUGUGCCUUUUACUCAAAAAAUGAGCAAAUUAGUCCCUCUAUAUUUAGAUCAAAGAGCAAAUUGGUCAUUUCUGUUAAAAAAUUCAUCCAUUUGUAUUUUAAAAAACUGACUUGACUGAUAGAACAACCUGGUAGUUACACGUACCUCAUUCUGACAUACAUGGACUAGUUUUUAAUAGUAAAAAGGAUGGAACUUCAAACAAAAAGACCAAUUUGCUCUUUGAUCUAAUGUAAAGGGGAUAAUGUUCCCAUUUUUUGAGUAGAAGGGUCAAAAUGCAAUUAGACUCCUAGUAAAAGGGCUUCUUUGAUACUUAUACCCCUAGUUAUUCUCGAGAGUAGAGGUUGUUCAUCAAUGAAAUUCUUCUUACCUGCAGAUCCAGGUGGUGGAAUCAAUCAAAUACCAGGAGAGUGUACAAUAUCGGGAGAUGUCAGGUUUAUCCUAUUUCCAGAAUGUUUAUCAAGUCUCUUAACAUGUAUUCUUACUAAGACUCUUUUUCUCGGUUUGUAGGUUAACUCCUUUCUACAAGUAAGUAACCUUCGAAUUCGAUCACAUCUUUUACACCUUUCAAGUUAUUUACCGGUGGAAGAUUAUCAUUCCAUUUCCGAACAAAUUUGCUAGUCCCAAUUUUCUAUCUCAGUGUAAAAGAUGUAAUGAGUAAGCUUCAAGAAUACGUAGAUUACAUAAACGAAAAUCUAAACAAGCUAGACACACGGGGUCCGGUUUCAAAAUAUAUCCUCCAUGACGAAAACCUUAGAGGAAGGUAUGCCCUCUUUCUGGUUUUUGUGCUAAUUUUUCUCAUCUAUAGUUCUAUAGGUUUUUUCGAGUUUUACGGCAUAUUCUCUUUACAGCCUUACUUUGACUUUCGACGAGGCAACGUCCGGUGUUGCUUGUGAUCUCAAUUCUCGUGGAUUCCAUGUAUUGUGCAAAGCAACUGAAGAGGCUGUUGGACAUGUGAAACCUUACUCAAUUACCGGAAGUUUGCCACUCAUUCGGGAGCUACAAGUAUGAUAUAUCCAUGAACAUAUUAGUAGUUCCUGGCCUUCUAUUAAACCAUCAUUAGCUAAUCGUUUGUUGCUCAUUUUGUCAGGAUGAAGGUUUUGAUGUUCAAACUGCUGGCUACGGUAUGAGAACAUAUUGUGUAUUUCAUAACCACAUUGUGUAUUUUCGGUUUAAGUUAUUAAAAUCUACCGUAGAUAGUGAGAGCAUUUAUGGUAUAUUGAGGGUUAUAAACUAGUUGACCGAUCCUGUACUAUAUGCUAGAUAUCAAAUUAGUCCUUUUACCAUAAAAGUGAACAAAAUUUUGAACAUUAGCAGGGACGAAGGCAGGCAUUGACCCUGGUCCUCCCCUUAAUUUUUUAUGAAAUUAUUUGUUAGUAUAAUGGCCCAUUUGCACUUUGGCCCCCAAUAAUUUAUGAUUUGUCCCUGAACAUUAGCAGGGAUGAAGGCAAGUGUGCUUUCCCCCCCAACCCCAAUAAAAAAUGGUAGAUUUUCCAUUUAGCCUCCUAAAUUUUAUGAAAUUAUAUGUUAGUAUAAUGGUACAAAUACACUUUGGCCCUCCAAUAAUUCAUGAUUCAUCGCUGACCCUCCUAAAGCAAUUUUCUAGUUUCGUUCCUGAACUAGUAUAUGUUCUUGCAUUGUUCCAUUUCUGACUUUUUGCCAGAUUCAACGAAAUAAAACCGUUAGAAUCUUGCUUCAUACUUGUUUAUGGUGUUUUACCAUGAGAACAUUGUUUACGAUGUUUCAUGCUCUGGUAUAUGCACAGGUUUAAUGGCCACGUACCACGCCAAGAACGAGUACUGCCUUCUUUCCGAUAUGUGCCAAGGUUAUCACGUAUUUACCGGCAUCAUCGCUCAGCUAGAGGAUUGAAAGAUGACAAUAGAUUAGAUAUGAACUUGCAUAAUAGUUUUCUCAUCAAUAAUAAUGACAUUUGAACUGUUUGUAUGAAUAUGACCAUAUCAUUCAGGUUCCUACUGCACAAAAUUUAUUGUUAGUUUGUUAAAUGUGGUUUUAUUUAUUUAGGGCUGUUUGUUGAUGCAAAUUGUAGGUAGGAAAAUGGGUAAAUUAUGGUUUCGGUCCUUCUAUUACGUUCAAUAUUAAGAUUUAGUCCGAGCGUUUUAAUUUGAUAUAAUUUAGUUAAUCUUAGCAGGUAGCACCAUGGAUUGUUUCAUAAAUAAUUCAUCAUGUUCUUUUUGGUAAUUUUGGUACUUUUAUUAAUGGAUUUUCGUUAAAUUUGAAUAUGUGGAGUUGUGAUUUAAAAAUUUAAAGGUCAAUUAAUAAUAUAUAUAUAUAUAUAUAUUCAAAUCGGAGUUUUUAGAGAUAAGAGAUAAAAUUUUUGAAAUUAAAAAUAAGGGACUAAAUUUUAGAAGUUCCAGGAAUACAAGUGCUGAGAGCAUAAUAAACCUCAUAAGUAUUAAUUAUAAAUUAUUGUAUUGUUUACAAACUUAAACACAUAUCCUCUUUCACCAUUACUUUUAUAUAUAUAUAUAAAGCUAAAUUUUGAUUAGGUUAUAUCAUGCUUAAAUUGUGAUUUAGAUUUUACACAUUUUAUCAUUUUAGGUUAAAUAAUUUUCAUUUCGGGUUUAGAUUAUUUUAAGCUCGUAUCAUUCAGGUUUGAUGUUAAGAUUUUUUAGGUUUGAAUCAUUUUAAGUUUGUAUCAAUUUAAAUUCAAAUCGUUUCGAGUUAGGAUCAAUUUGGAUUCAGAUUAAAUGUGUAUUUAAUUGUUAACUUUAUGUAAUCAAAUCAAUUCGACUUGAUUUUAAAUUCCAAUUAGAAUUAACAUAUAUAGUUAUCAGAAAUUGAGAAAGUAGGUAGUAGGAAGUAAUGUUUCGGAACCCGAAUUGGGAUUAGUUUGGAUUCAAAUUGAACAAGUUUUUAAUCAUUAACUUUAUAGAAUCCAAUCAGUUUAAUCCAAUUUUAACAUUCCAAUUAGAAUCAAUAAAUAUAGUUAUCAAAAAGUAGGCAGUAAGAAACAAUGUUUUCGGAAACCCCGAGUUGGGAUCGGUUUAAAUUCAAAUUGAACAAAUUUUUAAUUGUUAACUUUAUAUAAUCAAAUCAAUUUAUCCAACUUUAAAUUCCAAUUAUAAUUAACAAAUUUAUCAAAAAGUAGGCAACAUGAAGCAAUGUUUUUGGAACUCAAGUUAGGAUAAUUUAAAUUUAAAUUGAACAAGUUUUUAAUUUAACUUUAUAUAAUCAAAUUAAUUCAAUCAAUUUUUAAAUUUUAAUUAGAAUUAACAAAUAUAGUUAUUAAAAAUGAGGCAGCAAGAAGCAAUGUUUUCGAAACUCGGGGUGAGUUUGAAUUUAAAUUAAACAAUAUAAUCAAUUCAAUUCAAUUCAAUUUUUAAAUUCUAAUUAAAGUUAUCAAAUAUAGUUAUCAAGAAGUAACUUUUUCAAAAUUGAAUCAAUAAUCUGAUUUAGCUGAUUUUUCAAUUCGAUUCAAUUGAAUCGUACCAAUUCUCAAAUCAAUCCAUUUUUUACUUUGUUGUAGAUAUACUAACCAUUUUGUAUCCAACCUGUUUGGGUUUUGAAAACAAUAGCACGAAAAGACAAAUGCGAAUCCCAUGGGCUUACAAGGCUCAUAACAUUGCAACGUCAGCCAUCAUUUCCCCCUAUAAUAUGGGAGAGAACCAACCUCUCUUUUAUGUUAUCAUCACCUAUAUACGUGUGUCCUACUGUAUAGUGGGUACCGAGUCACCAUUCACCAACCACUCACUGUGUUACUAUCAGCCAAAAACAACCCAAAUAGAACAACACUGGGGAAGUUCUUAGCCUCUGCUUGCAAUCCUCAACUCUGUCCACAUCUCCCAAAAACCAAACAAUCCCAUCUCAACCACAAAAAUCUCCUGUUUCUUUGUGUGAAAUCCACUCUUUCUCCUUCAAAUUCCCCCUUUAACCCAACUGCUCUCUUGUGGCUCUCAAUCCUUAAUAGCCUCAAAAAAAAAAAAAAAGGUACUUUGAGUGAAUUUUACAGUUCUUUUCUGGGAUCUGAUUAAUGGGUUUUCUUUUUUAAUCAGAUUUCGGCACUUGGAUUGGUAUUUAACACUCUACUGGAUUUGAUUCAGCUUCAUUUUAUUGCAUUGUUCAAGGUAAGACGGUUUCAUAGUUAUCUGGUUUUCAUUUUGAAGCAUUGUAAUUGAGUUUCAAUUGCCAUUUUACUUGUGUAGAUGGGUGAUGUAGCUAAGGAUUUAACAUCUGGAACUGUUGGAGGAGCAGCACAAUUGAUUGUUGGGCAUCCAUUUGAUACUAUUAAGGUUAAGCUUCAGAGUCAACCUGUUCCGCUUCCUGGUCAACCACCUAAAUAUGCUGGUGCUAUGGAUGCUGUUAAGCAGACUUUAGCUGCUGAAGGACCAAGGGGUUUGUAUAAAGGUAUGGGAGCUCCAUUGGCUACCGUGGCUGCUUUCAAUGCUCUCUUGUUUACAGUGAGAGGACAAAUGGAGUCAUUUUUGAGAUCAGAAUCUGGUGUACCACUCACUGUUAACCAACAAGUCAUUGCUGGUGCUGGCGCUGGUGUUGCUGUUUCAUUCUUAGCUUGUCCCACUGAGUUGAUCAAAUGCAGGUCAGGUUUAUGGCUUUUCAUAUCUAUUUUCGGGUUAAUUGCAUUAGACGUCUUUAAAUUAUGAUCGAACUCUAAAUUGGUUCAUAAACUUUGAAAGUUUUGAUUGAGUCCUCUUACUACUAGAAUUGUAUCAAUUAGCUUUGGAGAUUAAAUGCUAGGUCAAAUCCAACCUACAUAGCGGCAAAGUCAGGAAAUUUUUUGGAGGAGCUGAAAUUAAUUUUUUUUUUUGUGAGAGUUAAAAUGUAAAAUUUUCAUUGUAAGCUUAAAACUUAAUAAAAUUUAAAAAGAUUAAAUCACAAUUUUAUCAUUUUAUGGGGCUAAAAUAUAAUUUUACAAUAUAUUAAUUUAUAAAAUUGAAUAUUAGUGGAAUUAAAGUGCAAAUUAUCUAUUUUAAGGGGACUAGGCCCCUGCUUACCCUUCUAGUGCCCUUGAAUAUAGAGUAUAUUUAAAACAUGUGGAUCAAAUUAUAAAUAUUUAUAUACCUAUCGCAUAAAUGAUUUGUAUCUAAGGUAAUAAAGAAAAUAACCUUUCUAAAUUGUAAUAACACUGUUCAGUUUUUUAAACACAUCAAACAUACUGUUGGUACAAGUGUUUUAAACAUGCUCCAUGUUAGGGGAAAAGGCCUAAAUGGGAUAAUUGCGCUUUAGACCCCCUCCCAAAAUAUACAAACUUACAAGUUAAUACAUGGUAAAUUAUAGUUUGGCCACCAAAAAAUAAUAAAAUUUUGAUUUAGUCCUAAAAUCUAUAAAGAUGCCAACCAAUACGGUGGUGAAAUUGCAUUUUAACUAUUAUAAAAAUACAUAACUCAAUCCCGACCCAAAAUAAAGUUUUGGCUUCGCUCCUGCUCCAUAUCAGAUCCAAACUAGAAUUCAACACCUAAACUGGAUCUAACUAAUACAAUAUUGAUAUAUUGACGACUCAAUUAGAAGGUUUUCAACAUGCAUGAGAUAACUAUUUCCUCAUAUUAACUUUGGGGUCUUAUAUGUUGUAACCAGAUUACAAGCCCAGAGUGCAUUAGCGGUUGAUGCUGGCUCAGCUGGUGUAGCAGUGAAAUAUGGUGGACCAAUGGAUGUAGCCAAGCAAGUGCUUAGGUCCGAAGGUGGUGCAAGGGGUCUCUUCAAAGGCUUGGUUCCCACCUUAGCUCGUGAGGUUCCUGGUAAUGCUGCUAUGUUCGGUGUCUACGAAGCAUUGAAACAAUACAUGGCCGGAGGGACCGACACUUCGAAAUUAGGACGAGGGUCAUUGAUCGUGGCAGGAGGCUUAGCCGGAGCUUCAUUUUGGUCAUCGGUUUACCCAACCGAUGUUGUCAAGAGUGUGCUCCAAGUAGAUGAUUAUAAAAAUCCUAAGUACAAGGGGUCUAUGCAUGCAUUUAGGUCUAUAUUAGCUUCAGAAGGGGUGAAAGGGCUUUAUAAAGGGUUUGGACCUGCCAUGGCAAGAAGUAUCCCUGCUAAUGCAGCUUGUUUCUUGGCAUAUGAAGUGACAAGGUCUAGUUUGGGCUAAUUUAAUCAGUUGUUGUUUCUUUGAUUUGGUCACCAACAGUUUUUGCUUUUGUCAAAAGCCUUAAUGAAUUUGAUGAUGCUUGAAAUGGAAAGGUGGUCAUAGGUUCUUUGUAAGUUAUUUGAGUUCGGCUCAAAAAAACUUUAAAUUCGAUUUGGUAAUUAUCAAGUAGAGUUCGAGAUCGAGCAACUCAAACUACCAAUUGAGAUAAAUUCAAGAACCAUAAUACUUGAUUCAAACGGCUCAUGAAUUUAAUUGAACUUUUCAUUUUAAUAUAUUUUUAUAUUCUAAAAUUAUGUUUUUAUCUUUAUUAUAUAAAAAGAGCUUAAGUAUGAAUUAAUUUAAUCGAGAUUGGAUUUGAACUAAAGUAUGAAAAUUUAUAAAUGAACUUAAUUGAGCUCGAACUAAAAUAGCUUAAUUAUGUCUUGAAUUAAGCUCAAACUACCACUAUUCAAAUUCGAUUUUCUACUCAAUUAUACUCCGUACAUUUAAGUAAUAUCUCACAAGGGACUCAGCACAUGCUUAGAAUUUUUCAAAAAUUUAAUUAAUUAAUUAAUUAUUCAAAUUAAAUGUUUAUAAUUGAAUUGAUUUGAAUUUUAAGCUUUUGAUUUUUACUUUUUCACCUAAUUUUCCUUCAUAUAGAUGAUUGAAUGUAUAAUUAAAUUUAAUCAAAUCAAUACAUCAAUUAAACCGAUGAAUGGAGUCAAAUUUAGGAACAUUUGAGAUUCUCUUAAAGGGGUGGAAAAGGAAUGCAUGUUAAAUCAACUAUGUAAAAGUAUUUGAUGCCAUUUCAAGCAUGGAUUUCGUCACAAAGCCAUUGGUAUAAUUGCGGCUUAUUCUCAUAUUUAUUUGGGGAUUUUGACAAAAGUGGUAGUGGGGAUGAAUAGAAAUUUUGGAUACUUUGAUUCCCCUUUUUAUAUAUUGUUGGCAUAAGAUUAAAUUUAAUUAAAGCAAUAGAUUCAAGGCAAUUUGGGUCUUAAUUGCUUAUUUUAUAAUAAUUAAAAUAUAAUUUUAUCCGUGUAUUAACUUAUAUAUCUUUAUGAUUUUCAAAUGACUAAAUUGAAAUUUUAAUUUUAAUUUUUUUUUUGCAUUUACCUAAUUCCUCUUUCACUCUCUCCCCCUCCCAUCUCUUGCGGUCCCUGCUUAGGGCCGAGCAAGAAAAAUCGGUCUAAAUUAAGGUGUUUGAACAGUUUAUGAAAUAUGAGUUUAAAAAUCACAAUUAUUCAAAAUUGAACUAAAAUUUAUUUUUUAUUUAUCAUAUAAUUAAUUUUAAUUUUUAUAAUAUAUAUAUAUAUGAUAUUAUUUUAGCAUCAUGUUCCAAUCUUCUAAAGUCAUAUGGCCCUUUCUCUACAUGUGAUAUGUUUACAUAUUAAUAGAAAUUUAUAUUUAUUCAUAUUAUUUUUUUAAGACUAUAUCUUGUUUCCGUUUGAAAACAAAUACUAGAUAGCUAAUUUAAGUUAGCUUUUAGUUUAGCUUUCCCUUUUAGUAAUAUUAUUAUAGGUUUUGAUCAUAUUUGUUUUCUUAAUACAAUGUCUAGAACUACAUAUCGCUCCUUCUAACCUAUAAAUAGGAGGAUAAUGCACUUCAACGUACUCGAACGUACAUCCUCCUACAUUGACAACAAUAUCCAUAAUAAUCGAAAUAAAACUCAAUUCACAUUCUAGCUUAUAAUUUAAAUUUACUUUUGUUGCCAAUCACCUAUAUGCUAAUUUUAAAUUAAUUUGGAACUAAUUUUGUCCCUUGGUUGCUAAUGACAUAUGUAGGUGUAUUUCUCUUUCCCCAUCACUAAUAAACAAAGAAAGAGACCUAACUUCUCUCAUGGGAAGUUGAACCAAGUCAAAAUAUUCACACAAACCACAAGCAAACAUAUAUAUAUAUACAUGUAUUCAAGAUUCAAUGAAUCCAAGUUUCAGAUCAAUAAAUUGAAAAUCAUUGAAAUAUCUUGAUUUAAAGUUUCAUGGUAUUAAUAUAAUAUAUAAUUAUUUUGAAUUGAUUUGAUUUGAGAUAUGAAUCUCAAAUUUUAACUAAAUCUAUUAAUAAUUAUAAAUUUCUAAUUUGACUUCCUCUAAAUAUAUUCAUAUUUUUAUUUUUAUUUUUAUUUUUAAAAAUAUAACUAUUUUUAUUUAAUAUUCAAUACUACUACAUAAGACCUUUAAAUAAUUUAAUAAAUAAAGACAAUAACAUUAAAACCCAAAUUAAAUAAAUCAAAAGAUAAAUAAAUUUUAAAAAAUAAAUAAUAACAACAUAUUUUUUUUAAAUAUCAAAACUAUACCUAUUAAUAAAAAAAACUGAAAAUAUAAUGUAAUAAAUAUAAAUCAGACUAAUGCAACAUUUUUCUUUAACAAACAAUAACAACAAUUAUAAAUAUAAUCGCAGUAGUAAUUACGGUGAAUAUAAUUUCAAUAACUAUAACUAUAAUUAACUACUAUAAUAUCGAAUAAAAUGCAUAAUCAAAUUAAUACUUAAAUUUAACAAAAAUAAAUUUAUAUAUAAUUUUUGGUUGAACAUAAGCUUAGAAUAUUAAGCGAACAUCAGUCUUAAUGAAAAUUAUCAGUUGCUACCAGCAACAGUCUAAUAUCUUCUUCAAGUCAGCAUCUCACAUAUUGCGAAGGAUCGUCCAGGAUAACCACAUGCUCAAUUAUGUCUCUAUUUGCCUUAGUUAUGCAAUUAACAACUUUAUUGGCAUUCCGCUGAAUAUGUCGAAAUUCAACUUCCCAAUUUUUGAAACAUGAAUUUGUCUAACUUCAACAACACUACUUACUGUAGCUAACCCGUUAUGAAUAGUUUCAAUCAACAUUGUGUUGUCACUUUUCAACUCAACACACCUGAAUCCUCUAGCCCAAGCCAAUUUCAAUCCUUCAAGAAUCGUUAUGACUUCAAUCUAGAAGAUAUCAUUCAUACCUAAUACCAUCUUGAAUCCUACCAACCAUCCUCCACUAGGUCCUUUCACUGCCCCUCUUACAUAUUAUUAAUUAACAAUAUUUACCCACCGAUUUAAUUAUUUUAACAAUGUUAUUAAUUUAAAUUUUAAAUAUUAAAAUGCUAAAGAGACAAAACAAAGUAAUAUUUUAAUUGAGAGCAUCAAUUAGAUUAUUUUUCAGAUAUAAUUGGAGUGAAAUGAGAUCAUGCCCAAACAUUAUUAAAGUUAAAAUAUAAUAUUAAAUUAUUUGUGGAUGUAUACAAACUAUGAAGGGAAUUGGUUUUCUUAGCUGGAUUAGGGUGGAAUGAUAUGUCUGGUGGGAGAAUAUAAAACCCCUUUUUUAAUUUCAAUUUUAAUCAGUAAUUAUAUUUUUAAAAUAAUGAUUCGAAAUUAAGUUAAUUUGAGAAUAAGUGAAUAUCCAAUUAUUGAAUUUAUAUUCAAGUAAUUAUUCGAUUUGAUCAAAUAAAUUUAAGAAUUCGAAUUCAGAUGAAUUUGGUAAAUGAAUAAAUUUUAGUUUAAUUUAACUUUAGAAUAUAAUAUAAACUUUAUUUUAAAAAUAAUUUUUAAUUCUUUUAUUACUUUUUUGAGAAAGGAACUGCCCCCAGCUAAUUGAGAUUGUGGUCUAGAAAAAGCAAAAAUUGUUCAUGUCAUUAAAGAUGUGACUCUCUUUGAUAAUGUUGAUACGUAGAAGCCAACAAAGAAAAAUCAACUAAAGACCAUGAAAAUAUUAUAUAUUUAUUUAAUUUAAAAUAGAAAAUUAAUAAGAAUAAGCCUGGAACUGGAAAUUUGGCUUUUUGGCUUUUGAUUAAAUUAAUCAAAUAUGGAAAGAAAUUACAAAGGGUUGAUAUCUGUCCAUGUUGAUGUCUCUCUGGCUGUUUGCCUUUCCCAUUGUAUAUCUUUGUAAUCUUCUUUUUAGACUCACUCCAUUGAUAAUUUGAAUAUGGUCGAUUCAUAGAGUUUAAAUGCAUAAGAAUUUAAGUUAUGAAUAUGAUUUAUUUCAGUCUUUGAUCAUUUGUAAAUAUCCAUCAGGGGUACAGUAAAAAAAAUUUAGAUGAAACUAAGAUAUAAAUUUAUAAUAGAAUUUCACCGUUAUAUUAACUAAUAUAUAUUUAUAAUUUUUAAAGGAUUAAGUUAAAAUAUUAUUAUUUGUGGGGUUAAAGUAUGCAAUUUUCCAGUUGUUGGGAGGGUCAUACCCCUACCUACCCCUCCCAACAAUUAUUAUCAUUGUUUGUAAUUUCUGUCAAAGUUAAUCAUAUAUAAUAUUAUAUGAGGACAAUUUAAUCAAUAUGUCAAGUUGUCAAAUUUUAACAGAAAAUAUAACAAUGUUAACGGUUGUGAGAAAAAAUAAAAACAUGUUUGGUAACACCUUACCGCCUUGUGUAUAGCAUCGGCAGCCAUAUUCAUUGUUCGUGGUACAUGUCGAAUCUCCCCUUGCCAAUCCCUUGACAUCCAGUUAUGAACCUCCAAUGCUAAUCUCGACAAUCCCACCACUUCGACUCCAAGUAUUAGGUCUAUUGUUGUUUUACUAUCACUCUCAAUUAGUAGCCAACGUAACCCCUUCUUCCAAGCUGUUUCUAGCCCAUGAUCAACAAUUGCUCGAAAUUCUACGUCUAGGAUCGAGCUAACACCUAUGUAGCAGCCAUACCAUACCCAAAUACCUAAUCGCCUUGGUGACACUUACUAUUCCACCCAUCGUCGCACUUGCAGAUUGUAUGUCAACUCCUCCAUCCAUAUUAAAUUUAUACCACUCUAAAGAACUUCCUACCGUAUAGAUGCAAUCUACUGCAACUUAAACAACUUAGAGGCGACCCGCAUCACUACUUUAGACCAAAACAAACUAGACAUGACCACUUCAUCUUUACUAAAAAUUUGACCUAUGAAAAUAGCCGGAUUCCUUCUUUUCUAAAGUCUCCAUAAAGUAUUUACAAACACUAUUUCCAUAUACUAAAAUAGUGAAAAAGAAUAAAUUACUAUAUCUCAAUAUACUAAAAUAGUUAGCUUGGAAUUAUGAUGGGAAAUAAUUCUUGCGUAAAAAAGUAGUAUUAUGACAUAUAAAGUCCAUAUUCCAAUUUUUUUCAAAAACAAUGUCCAUUUUUCAAAGCCUUCAAUCUCACACAUUAUAUUUAUAUAUAAUAUAUAUUGAAAAUAAUCAAUCCCAAAAAUUUCAUAACCCAUGCGUAAUAAAUCAUCCAUUUCAUCUUGAUCUAUAUAUAUAGGAGAGCCUUUGAUUUUUGUUGAAUUUCAUAUUUUAAUUAAUCUAAUCAAUUUAGUGGGUUAAAUCAAAUUGGUUUAUACUUGAUUUUAUUAUGAAAUUUUUAUAUAUUAUAUAUCAUGUAUGAAUCUUAUUAGUUCUACUUUUUUUUAAUUUUUAUCCGUAUCAUAAAAAAUAUAUUUAUAUAUUUGUAGUAAUGAAGCUUUAAAUAAAUAUAUAUAUAUGCAUUAAAAGUAGGUUAAAUCAUUUAAUUAAAUUAUAAAAAUUUAUAAUCAAUAAUCGAUAUAAUAAUUUACUUUUAACUUCCAACAAAAUUAUCUUAUGAUAAUAUAUGAAAGCAAUUCAAGCAAAACUAAAUAAUUUUAUAUGAUAUUUACUUUUUACUCGUAAUCUAUUGAAUCCUUAAGUUAGAAGAAAAACACACUUAAAUGUGUUAGAAUCUAACUCCUUCAAAUUAAGGGAUAAUUGGCCGAAGAAUAGGUAAAGUUACCAUGUAGGUUUGUGGAGUUGAAUUAUAUUUUUCUCUUUAACUAAAAAAGUUAAAUUAAUUAUUAUACUGAGUAAAAGAUUGAAUCAAAAUCAAUGCAAAAAUGAUUGUUUCGGUCUCAUUUGAAAGAAAAGAAAAAAUUAAAAAUGAUUUUUGUUAUAUAGAAAUAUAUAAAAUGGACCGAUUAGAAAUACGUUGAUCUGUCAAGCAACCAACAUCAAAUACUCUGAGCCCAAACCCACCUGUCCCGUUCACCUCUUGGCCACCUCAUUCAUUUUUUUCCUUUUUCAAAAAUUAAAUUAAAUUAAUAAUUUAAUUUCAAUUUUCCAAUUUUACCCUCAUCUUUUUUCAUAAUCCCUUUCCCUUAUAAGCCCCCAAUAAACCCCCUCUUCUUCCUCUUAUCUUCCCUCCUCCUCCUUCCCUUCUGUUUCCCUCCCAUGGCUGAACCCGAAUCCGAACCCACCACCACCCACCACCUCACAAUCCCACCCGGUUUAACCCAAGACGAGUUCCAUGAGUUAACCCCGAGUAUAACUCAGUACCACACCUACACUUUAGGUCAAGGCAAAUGCUCUUCUUUAUUAGCUCAACGUAUCAACUCACCAAGCGACCUCGUUUGGUCGAUCGUCCGCCGUUUCGAUAAACCACAAACGUAUAAGCACUUCAUAAAAAGCUGUGCCGUCAAAGACAAUUUCCAAAUGGUCGUGGGUUGCACGCGUGACGUCAACGUGAUCUCCGGUUUACCGGCAGCCACAAGCACCGAACGUCUCGAUAUCUUAAACGAUAAUGAAAAGGUAACCGGGUUUAGCAUCAUCGGCGGUGAACAUAGGUUGACGAAUUACCGGUCGGUGACGACUGUACAUGGGUUUGAACGUGAUGGGAAGAUCUGGACUGUUGUUCUGGAAUCAUAUGUGGUUGAUGUACCUGAAGGGAAUACGGAAGAAGAUACACGGUUGUUUGCUGAUACGGUUGUGAGACUUAAUUUGCAGAAAUUGGCUACCGUCGCUGAAGGGUUGGCGCGUGAUGGCGAUUGUAAUAAAUCACAGGUGAUGUGAAAAUAAAUUUUAUAUAUAUGUGGGUAAGAAAUAAAUAUUGUCUCUUUUUCUUCUCUCUCUCUUUUUUUUUUUUUUAACUUUGAUCUUAAUUUGUUUUUGUGAAUUAGGGUUUAAUUAUGCUUCAGUCCCUGUACUUUUCAGACGUUUGGAAUUAAGUGCUUCUUCUUUUCUUUUAGUUACAAGAGUUUAAUCAUUGAUGAAGAUCCCAACAGGCUUAUGUUAAGCCUACGAAUCUUACUAAUCAUAUUCAGAUUGUAUUUUACUUCAUUUCAUUUACUAAAAAUGUAACAUUCCAAAAACCGGGUCAGAAGAAAGCCCGGCUUUGAAACCUCUCUCAUCUCUCGUCGAUUAUGAGUUUAGAUUUUGGAAAUUUUUAACAAAUGAAUUUAUUUGGUUCAGUAGUUAGUUAAGUGUUUUUAUUAUGUGUGUGAGGUUUUGGGUUCGAAUAUUAUCUCUUGAAAUUUUGUUAUUUUUUAUUAAAUCUUUAUUUUGGAUAUGUGGGUUAUAAGUUAAAUUCAGUCAACUGAUGAUAAGAAAUCAAUUUUAGAGUAAACUAUCCAAAUUUGGCUUAAACUUUUAAGCCGGGUUUAGGGUAUUAAAAAAAUAAAUAAAUUAAUCCUUUUGGCACCAUUAUUAAAAAUUGGGGUGUGACUAACAAAAUAAUUAAAGAAUUAAAUUUUAAAAGAUUAACGGGGUAGAGAUGUGGGGGCAGAAUUAGACUGUUAUAUUUUCUUUUAAUUUUUGCUUUACGAAAUUACGAGAAAACCCUUAUACGAAACUGUGGGUUACUUACUAUUCUUAUUAAGCUAUAAGAAUGUUUGAAUCAAUGAAUUUGUACGUAGAUGUUUUUCAUUAAGACAAAAGGUGUCUUAAUGUCAUAUAUGACUCAGCUCCCUCCAAUACGAUAUCGUUUUAUCGAAUAUGUUCCCAUUAAAAGGGCUCAAAGAAUCUAAUUUUGUUGAUCAUAUCUUUCAAAAAAAACACUAUUGUGUAUAUAUAUACACAUAUGCAUGUAACAUAUUCUAUAUAUGUUCUUAACUAUAUAUGAUAUGUACAAGUCAAUGGUUAGGGAUUAAAUUUUGAUGAUAUAUUUUUUGUUUUUGAUUUCGUAAAAAUCAGAUCACAUCGAUACAUUUUAACAGGGUCUUACUGUCAACUAUGAAGUAAUACAUAUCCUUGAUAUGAGUUGAUACAAACAUAAACCUAUUAAUCCAACUGAAAUACACAAAAUUUAUGAUCAAAAUGGUCGAUAUCAAGGGCAACAAUUGGGAAUAAGCAAUGAUGGGUGAGAGAAAAAAAGGCCCCUAGUCCCUCCAAUUCUAAAAACAAAAGGUACAAAAGCAAUCUGGUAGUCUAGUUGAACCAAAAGAAAUGGCUACAAAGCUGGGGGUGGAGCUAAAAAGCUAGUGAUCGGUUCAAUAGUGGUCCCCCGCUCCUAUAUAUAUAGCAAGGAAGAAGAGACCACUAAAACCACCAGUUGGAUCAGGUGUGUGGGUCUUCAGUUUUCUGCAUCAAGAAUCUAUAUGAGAAAAUAAAUUAGUACAAUGACAAAUAGGUUAGGUGAAUUAUGGUGGAAUUUCUUGGGAGACACCCAACAAAUAUAUAAAUAUAGAAAAAAAAAGGGAGUAGUUUUGGUAAAUCCAUAUAGCCCCCAUAUUCUAUUUUAAGCAAUAAAUGUUAAAAAAAAAGUGUGUUCCUUUUUCUAACUCAGUAUUUGAUUAAUUAGUGUUGAAUUUAAAUUUUAAAGAUAAUAUUAUCGAGAAAAAUGAUCACGAAGCUUGAAAUAUAGGGGCCCUGAACCUCUCCUACAUUUUUGUAAAAUUUCAAUUCAAUCUUUUUGAGUUUUUAAAAUUUUUAUUGCGAACUUAUAAUUAAUUCUAAUAAAUAGGAUAAAUUUGUGUUUUGCCUCCAAAAGUUUUUUUUUAAUUUGGUUUCUUUUAUAGAAUUUAUAAUUUUUUAUGAUAGAUUUAUUGACAUUUUUAGUUUUAUAUGGUAAAUUAAUACAAAGUAGUAACUAAAUAUUAAUUUAGUAAAAAAAGUACAAUAAUUGUAGUGUCUAAGUAUAAAUUAGCAUCUAAUAUUAAUUAGGUAAAAAUAAACUUAAAUAAUUACAAUUGGUCGGGGCCUAAUCUAUUUUAUAUAAAUACCUUGACCCCCUUUAUCAACAUUUCUGGCUUAACCCCUACUGAAAUGGUCAGUCUUCAUGGACCAUACAACAUACAUAAAAAAAUACAUUGAUUAUACAAAAAAAUUUAGUAUUCGAUCAAUUAGUGUUGGGUGUAAUGGUAAGAUAAAUUACACUCUUAGAAAGAAAAAUCAAGUUUAAACCUUGAAGAUGACAUUUUUGGGAGGGACCUCGAAAAAUUUAACCUUCAUAACUAAUAAAAUAAAAAUACCUUAAUCAUACAAAAAUAAAGCGUAACAUUUCAAAACUAGAAAGAUUUUCAUUAAAUUUGAAGCAGAGUAGCGUUAAAUUAUAUCAUUUUAAGAGGUAAGCUCUUUCAGUUUACUUUAGUUUCUGUUAAAAUUUAAGACCUUACUCAUUAUUUAUUUUAUAAUUAGAGGAGGAUAAUGAAUCAAACUGUUUGGGAUCGAACCAAGCUCUCAUGCCUGCAACAUAAUGCUCUUAAUAUUGGGUCAAAAAAUUAUUAACUAUUCCUAAUAUUUUUAAUCACUUGAUUUAACAGGUGUUGGUGUAAAAGGUUUCUUCUUUAUAUAGACAUUGAUCCUACAAUAUUAUUGACAACAAAUGAUAUGGAUCGACGGAUCACAAUCAUGCACAGUUUAUAAUUAUUACAACAGCUAUUAUCAGUGCCCCAAUUUUUUGAUGUCUUAUUGGUGGGUUUUUUGAUGCCUUAUUGGUGGGGUUAUCAUAGUUUAAAUUUUAAGUCGGCUCUUAUAUUAUUGGAUUGCAACUCAAAAGAUCAUACAUUUAUUAUGUUUUACUAUUAUUAUUACAUGUUGUUGCUCAUGAUUUAGUAUGUGUAAUGAAAAAAAAAAGAACAUGUUAGGUACAAUAUGGUGGGAUUUUCGUCAAUAAUGUAAAUGUUUUAACGAUCUACGAGGUUCGGGCACGUUUGGUUUCUUGAUGGAGCUAAGAUUUUUGUUUAAAGAAUGAAAUUUUAGGAUGGAAAGGAGAGUCCUAAGUGGUGAUUGCCAUAAAAUCCGAAUGAUAUGAGUUCGAUUUUACUCAAUUUGAUAGGAUAAAGUUUUUUUUUUAAAUCGAGUUUUGAAAUGAGUUUAAUUUUUUUCUUAGUUGUAUCAGAUUUAAUUCUUCAAUUAGUUUGAUUGGGUCAAAAUCGGAAUUAGAAUUGAGUCUAAGAAAAAUAUUUCCAAUCUAACUCUGAGAUAAUUGUUAUAUAUAACUUCAAUUUAAAAUAUGAUAAAAAUUUAUAUUAAUAUUUACUUUAGUAUAACUAUAUUUAAAAAUUUCUUGUUGUGGCUUAUUGAUUAAGUAUUUUUCUUCUCUAGGAAUAGCUUAGAUUCGAAUUAUCAUUGUACCAAAAAAGAUUAUACUUAAAAAAUAAAUAAUAGUAUUAUUAAAAAUUAUGACAUAUUGAGCCGUAUGGGCUAAUGAGGCGUGGGGAUCAUAUUGGAAUUGGGACCCAAAGGAAACUUGGGCGUUUAUUACUUGGACCGUAUUCGCGAUUUAUUUCCAUACCCGAACAAAUACAAAUUUGGAAGGUGUAAAUUCCGCACUUGUGGCUUCUAUGGGAUUUCUUAUAAUUUGGAUAUGCUAUUUUGGGGUCAAUCUAUUAGGAAUAGGUUUACAUAGUUAUGGUUCAUUUACAUUAAAUUAACAUCUAAUUGAAUUGAAUAAAGAGGCUAGGCCUAACAAAUACUAACAGAGGUAUACCUCUGAUUUUUCCAAUCGGAGUUUGGGGUAGAUAAAUUAAUAUUUGAUUCUGAAUUGAGUUGAGAUUAGAUUAUGCUGGGGGAGUACCAAGUCAAGGUCAGGGCUGGUAAAAGAAUCGCCUUCCCUGUUGCCAUCUCUAAUUGUAAGUUUUGGUAUAAUACUUAAAUUUCAAUUAAAUCUAGAAUCGAAUAAGAUCGUAUUUUUAAAUGAAAUUGUGAUUUUGAGAAGAAUAAAAAAUAAAUGUAGUUAAUUUUAUUUUUCUUCAAAAAUACAUAUGAUAAUGAUAUAGAAGGUUUGAAAUUUUAAAUUAAUUUUCAAAAUUAUAUUAAUAAUAAAAAUACAAAUUAUAAGUAAAAAGAAUAUCGAUAUUAGAUCCUAAUACGUAUUUCAAGUUUAACUAUGUCAUAUCUUUCCCAAUAGUGGCAUCAAUAAUUCACCUAAUAUUGUACGAGAACCGACCAAUAUUAUAUAUAGGCCAUAUUUUUUUUCCUUAUAUGUAUUAUAGUUAUUUGUUUAAUUUUUUAAUACUUAAAUCACGACUUAUGUCUUGACUUGAAUGGAACGGUGAUUAAAACUCUAGUUAGCCGCUUAUUUAACAUGGAUUCAAACUAUAUUACCCUAUCCCCUACCUCUAAUGUUAUACGACGACUUAUAGGCAUGUUAUUUUAUAUAUUUAGAAAGUAGUUCUAUUUUUAUCUCUAAAUGGAUGAUUCUUGAAAUUUAAGAUUAAAUUAUUUAGCAAAAAAUAUUAUGGAAUUUUGGGUUUAAAUCUCAUCAUGCCGUAUAUAUUUUUUAGGAUUUUAUAUGAAAAAGAUAAAAAUAUCCUCAAAAUAAUAUUUAUUGAUUUGUUAAAAUAACAGUCUUUUAGUAAUUUAAGAACUGAGUUGGGACUUAAUUAAAGAGCGACAUAAACCCAAUCAAACUCUUUAUAUAAAGUAAGUAUAGAUUUAUUAUGUAUAUUAUUAUUUUUAUAUACUUCCUUUUAUAUGAGUGUAAGAUCAUAUAUGAUUCUUAAUCUUUGUUUUUUGACACAAUACCUAAAACUACUCAUAGUCUCUCCCCAACUCUUAAAUAAGAGAAUAAUACGUUUCAGCGUAGCCGAACCCAUGUUCUCUUGCACUGACAAUAAUAUCGAUACCAACUGGGUUAAGACUCAAUCGGCAUGUAUAUUAUUAUUUUACAGAGGUUUAAUUUAAAGAAUAUAAAAAUAUUGAUAAAUUUAAUAAUUGAGUCCCUUAAUUGGUGAUAUAAAAUUUUGUUACGCAUUUUAUAAUAAUAUAGAUGCAUAUUCUCAAGGUAGAUAUGAUCUAGAUGCAAAUUAUCUAUAUCCAUAUAUAGAUUUAGGGAUAUGUUUGUGGCAAAAAUAGAGAUAGAUCAGCGAGUAGUAUGGUGCUUAAAAAUCUUAUCCCCAAACUCCAACAUUCUUUAAUUAAUUGUCAGGUUAGGUAUAUGCCCUAUAAAGUAUUCAACUGAAAAUAAUUAUUAUAUAAUUAAAGCUUGCGUUGAAUGAAGUUUGUUCUUCAUUUAAUGUAUUUUAUUUUCAUUUCUCUGAUAAGGUUUAGGAUGGGUUUGGAUGGGCGAUUGAGUGCGGUGCGGUGCGUUUAGUUUACUUUUUGUCUCACGCUAUAGUAUUAUUACAGUAUCUAAUCUUACCGCCACCGCUGUUUUUACACUAACCGCAGGUAAACGCACCACCCAUCCAAACUCACCCUUAGUGUUUGAUGUAGAUGAGUAUGUCAAAAAUGGUGGUUAUCAAGCCUUCUGGUUGAAAUAUUGACUUUAAUGCUUUACUGAACAAAACGUUUGCUCUAUGAAAAUCAUCUCAAAUGUUCCCAUUAAUGAAUUUUGAGAAUGACUAUUAUAUGGUAAAAUUUAGUUUAUGGAGGAUUAUACGAAGGUUUUGGCUAAGGGUCCUUGGGUUGUGUAUGGGAAGUAUCUCAUGAUUUAGUUAUGGGCACUGUCGUUCUCCACCUCAAAACUUCCUUUGAACGAAGUCGUGGAGUGCAAUGUAUAAGAAUAGCUUACUAAGAGCUAUUAGGGAGGUGGGUGAUAUUGAUUAUAAUAGAGAUGAUGGAGUUAGGGGGAGAUUUGCUAGAAUGGGGCUAUGACCUCUCAUCUCCAAAAUUAGAAUUGAUGAUCACUUAUAGGGGAGAUUUGUUUUCAAUGUGGUUGUUAUGGACAUACGCAAGAAGGUUGUCUAACAGUGGAAACCAUGGAAAAAUAAAGAGAUUUAUCUUUGAAUGAAGCUCAUUUUAUUGCUUAGCAAUUUAUCUUUUCAAAAAUAUUCGUAGUAAGGGGAUUUGCACCAAACACUUGUUGGCUAUAAUGGUAUUAUUUCUUAAUUUAUCUCAUAUUUUACACAAUUUUCCAUAUCGAUUCACGUUAUCAUUUUUUGUCUUCGAAGUAUUAUAAAUUUAAAUAAAUUUUGACACGUUAAUGAUUCAUUUUAUAUAAAGUUUAACACGUACAUAUAAUUUUGAUGACACUAGGUAUGCCUUAAAUUAUUUAAUAUUACGUAUUAAAUUAUUUCAUAUGUUUACAUAAAAAAAUAUUUAAUUUAUCCUCUUUCAUAAUAAUUUAAUUUUACAAUAUGUUGGGAAAGGAGGAGGAAAUGUUAAGUAAAGUGAGGGAAAAGAGAUUCCAUUUUUUCAUUUGGACAAGUGAAUUUUAUAAAGAGAUGGAAAGGAAAUGGAAUUGGGAAUUCCUUGCUUUCUUUAGCUUUACUCCAUUUUUUAAUAUCCCAAUUGGGGGAAAAUGCAAACAAUUAAAAUAUCAUUUUUGUCCUUCUAGUAUUUUACAAUUAACUCUAAAUUCUAAAUUUUAAUUUUAAAAUUUAAAUUUUACAUUUACCAUAUAUUAAUCUAAAUAUUAUGUUCAAGAUUUAAUUUAUUUUCUUAAAGCAAAAGAGAGCAUAUUUGCAAGUGGCCCCUAAAAUGGAAAAUUGUCCAUUUAGACUCUUAGCAAUUUUAAAAUUUUAAUUUAGUAAAAGUUAAAUUACACUUUGGCCCCCUAAAAAUGAUAAAAAUUUUAUUUAAUCAUUUAAAAAUUAUAAAAAUAUAGACUAUUAAAAAUUAUAAUUUAAUUUCGACCCUAAUCAUAUAUAUCACCCACCUCCAAGACUUAGAAGUAGUAGUGUUUAACCUCCAAAUCAACAUCCCAUCAUCACAAAUCUUAUGCAUUUUCUCCUAAAAAGGAAUAUUUCCAUCUCAUUUUGUCUAUAUCUUUCAUAAUCAUCAUUUUCUUUAUUCAUAGUAACAAACUCAACCCAUGAGUAAGAAUAUGUAAGAUUAUGAUUUCUCAUCUAUAAUGCACUCUAAUCUAUUUUAAAACUUCCAUUUUAGUGUUGUACCAAAUGACAACAAAAAAAAAAUCAAAAUUCAAUUAUUGUAAACUUACCAAAUAAGUAUAAAAAUGCCAUUUACCAUUAAAAGGUUACCUACUAACUAAGAUAUUAUUUCUUAAAUUGGAUAACUAUAAGUAGUGUUGAAAUUAUAUUAGAAAUUGUUAAAUAUCAAAUAUAAUUAUUUCUUUUGAUAAAAAUAAAUAUUGAUUUUGAAAAGAAUAUUAAUUUUUAUUUUUAAUCUUAUUGAUACACUAUUUUAUAUUAUUUUGAAUAAUUUUGAGUCGAGGUUAAUUAUGGUCAUAGAUAGAAAGUUAAUUCUUUCAAAAUUCUUGAGUGCCUAAUAGUUUUUCUAUCUAAUCAAUCCAACCACUAGUUUAACUUUUAUUAGGAAAAAUAUUUGGUAUAUAUAUUUAGACUUCACAAACAAGGUCAAAGGAUUGAUAAGUGUCUUAUACAAAUAUUUAAUACACAUCAAUUUUUUAAGACAACUUAUGCAGUGGCGGAGCCAAGGGGGGCUGGUAGGGACCUCGCCCCCCCCCCUAAAAUGGAAAAUUUCUCAUUUAGGACCUUUAUAAUUUAUAAAAUUUUAAAUUAGUAAUGGUAAAAUUGUACUUUGGCCUCCCAAAAAUAAUAAAAAAUUAAUUUAACCCUUUAAAAAUUAUAAAGAUAUAGACUAUUAAAAUAGUGAAAUUACAUUUUUACUAUUGUAAAAAUAUAUAAUUUAAUUCCGACAAAAAAAACAAUUCUGUCGACUCUGCGACUGAACUUAUAAAAUAAAAAAUUAUACUACCAAAUAUUCACCCUAAAUUAAAUUCUUUAAUAUUAAAUCUAGAGUUUAAAUAUAAACAACACAAUUACGUUUUCUUAUAAAAAGUAUAUUGUGACUUGCUACAAUAAAAAUAAAAUUAUUAGCAAAUAUUGGGUACGGUUGAAAAACACAUUGUAUUUUUAAAAAAAGAAUACAAAUUUUAUGAUAUUAUUCAAAAAAACAACCUCAAACAUAAAACGUAAAACCAACAUAAAAAAACAACGAUUAAUAAAAAUAGAAAAGCCUUACAAACUAAAUAUAGAAAUAGAAUCUCGAGGCAGUGUCUUUUAACCUAAUUAGACAGAUUGGGUAUUCAAAGUGUAAAAGAAAAGUGAAUAUACUUGAACUCCCAAUAGGUGAAUUUAGUUUAAAUUUUAAUGGCGAUGUUGUUGAGAAAAGCAAUCAUGAACCUAAAACAUGAACCGUAAAAUAGAUAUAAAAAAUAUAAAAAAGUCAUAUCUAUAUUUUAGUUUGACGUAACUUUAUCUUCUUGUUCAUAUUAAUAUUAAGAUUACUAGCUUAUAUAUCGAGUGAAGUAAAAAUAUUCCACAUAAAAUGAAAUUAUUUCGUUUCAGAGUAUAAUAAAAUAAUAAUCAAAAAAUACUUGGCAUUAUAUUAGUCCACAUCAUCUGAUUAACAAAAUUUUAAAGGGACGAAAAUUUCAAAUUUAGUAUAAUACAAGGAUAAAACCUAAAAUUAUACCAAUUUAAUAAAUACUGCAAACCAUGAAUUAAGAAGGUCAUAUGGAUUUAGAUAAUGAUUACUAAUGUAGUGAAUGGUGGAGACAAAAUUUUUUUUUUAAAAGUAUUAAUCUAAGCCACGUGAAGAAGCACUAUAAUAAUAUCCCAAAUAUGAAAACAAAGUUUAGGGUUAUGGAAAAGGACUUUGCUCUUUUUAGAUGGCGAAAGGCCAAUUUUCAUUGAUUUUUGCAAUGCAAGUGGCCAACUUGUCUAUUAAAAAAAUCAAAGAUUUUGUGUACUUUCUACCUAUAAUUACAAUAUUAUUUUAUUAUAUAGGUUAAAUUCUACUAUUAAUUUCUAUAUUUUACUAAAGUUGUGAAUUUAGUCUUUUUUUACUUUUUAAUUUUUAAGAUUUUGAUCAUUACCAAGUAGUAAAUGUUAAAUUCUGCUAUUUUCAAAAUUUGAUGCGACAAACAUAUUUAACUAUUACUGUUUGGCCAAGACUAAAUUUCAAAAUUUGAAAAGUAUAAGGACUAAAAUUGACCGGUUCGAAAAGUACACAGAUUGAAAUUGAUCAAAAUAAAGUAAAAGGACUAAAUUCAUAACUUUUGCAAAGUACAAAGAUUAAUAGUAGAAUUUAACCUUACAUAUAAAAUUAUUUGGUAUAAUGAUGGCAAAGUUUUUUUAUUUUCACAAACAGUGGCAUGUCGAGUAUGAUACAUUAUUACCAUGUUCGGUUCAUUUGACUAGAAUGUAAGAUUUUGGUGCUUGAUUAAAGGAAUAUAAGAUUACCUAAAAGCACAUUUUACUAAUUUGUCUUUGAUAUAGAAUUUUUUUUAACAAAUUUAAUCCCUUCAAUUAUUUUUAGCCUCGGUUUUCAUAAAACUAUGAUAAACUAUGACAAUUCUUGUUUUCAUUACAAUGCAUAUGUUGACACCAUAUUUUGGAUGAAAACGGGGUCAACUUGGAUUUUGAAAAUAAAACGAAAAAUGGGAGUCGCCACCAAUCUUUUUUCAUGAGGUGUGAUCGGGUCACCUCGUAAAAUGGUUGUUUUUAAUAAACGAUUUAGAUUUUAUUAAAACAACGAUUUUUGUCUACGAAAUUCAGAAAAAUGGGUUCGGGAGUCGGUUACGCACGAGGAAGGAUUAGCACCCUCGAUACGCCCAAAAUUGGUACCUAGUUGAUUAAUUUGUGUCUUUGUGUCGAAAGUUAAAAACUCGAAAAGAAUUUUAAAAAUAUGAUCCCUCCUUAUAUCGUGUUAUUUUAAAAAUACUCAAAUAAAUCAAAAUGGAAAAUGCCUCAUUAUCUCGAAGUAACAAGAUACUACAUCCAGUAAGUUAGGACCCGACACCUCGUAUUUUUGAGAGUAAGCUUGCCCUUCAUUUUUUAUUUAAACCUCAUUUAUUUUAAUUUUAAAAGGAUAUUCGAUUACUUAGAAUCAACGAGAAAAAUCGAAGCUCAGUAAGUUAGGGCACGUUUUCUCGAAUUUUCUAAAUACGGAAUAUUGUCUUUACUUUCGAAAAAUCCUCAUAUCGAGAAAACCACGUGUCAUAUCCAAUGCGUUAGGCCACAACAUAUUGAAAUCCCGAUAAUGAGUUUUUAUUUAUGUUUUUUAUUAAAGAGCAUUCUCGAGUAUUUAGAUUCAACAGAAAAUUAGAACCCAGCACGUUAGGGCCCAAUUCUCUCGAAGAUCCCAAGUGUCGAGUAUUACCUUUAUUUCCAAAAUUUUCCUUUUUUACGAAUUUGGGUAAAAAUUGAUGUGACGGAAUAACAAUUACGAUAAUGCGAGUAAAAAUAAUACGAGCAAAAAUAACAAAAGUAAAUAUAUAAAAAAUCAAUUAUAUACAAUAACAAGUAAAUAAACAAAAUAAAAAAAACUGAAACAUUUUAAAAAAAUAAUAAUGGACACAUAAAUAAAUAAACAAACAUAAAGUAAAACAAUAAUAAUAAUAAAGAAAUGAAUAAAAUUAUAAAAAUUUUAAAAAUGUAUGUAUGAAUUUUAAAAUAUUUAAAAAUACGAGAAAAAACUAUGUAGGUAUAUAUAUAAUGAAAAUAUGUAUGUCUAUACGUAUAUAUAUGUGUAUGUAUAAGAAUUAUAAAAUAUGAAAACAUAAUUACGUAUAUAUAAAUAACAUGCGCAUGUGUGUAUAUAUAUUACAUAAAGACAAAAAAGAUGUGAAUAUGUAUAUUAUAAAAAUAAAAUGACGUAAGUAUGUACAUACAUUUAUAAAUAUAUGAAUUAAAAUAUGUAAAUAUAUAAGUAUAUAUAUAUAUGCAUGUAGAAAAUAUGAAAUAUAAAAAAUAUAUAUUUAAAAUAAAUAAAGAAUAUGUACAUAUAUAUAAAAAUUAUAAGAUACAGUAAGAAAUGUAUAUAAGUAUGUAUAUCUAUAAAUUAUAAAAAAAAUAUGUACGUGUAUGUGUAUUAAAAGAACAUGUAUGUAUAUAUAAUGACUUAAAUCAAGUAGUACAAAUAAUAAGAAAAAUAUUAGGUAAAUAAAAUAUACAUAUAUAUAUGUACAUAUAUAUAUAACUUAGAAUAAAUAUUAAGGAACUCCCCUUUUAUUUUUUUAAAAAAAAAUAAAUUAAAUGAAUUAAAGGAUGAAAAUAAAAUCAAACCAAAAUCUGGGGUUCCAAACUGUAAAAUAAAUAAAAAGAUCGUCAGGGACCAAAAUAGGAUGCGUUGGGAAGAAAGAAGGACUGACUGCGCAAUAUCCCCGUCUCUUAUGCGCUUCGUUUUGACAUGGGCCAGAACGAAAUAAGAAACAAAUUACGCAGAUAAAUUAAAAAGGAAAGAAAGUAAGAAAAACGGACUGGAUUAAAAGAACAAAAAAUGAAGAGGGACUAUCUACACAAAUAACCCCAAAGAACCAAACAUGCAGAUUCCCCCCCCAAAAACGACGUCGUUUUGCGUCUAGGGUGGGUUCCAACACACUGCCGUUUCAGCUCUCCACUUAAACCCUCCUUUUAUUUUUUGUUCAUUUAUUCCCCCCUAUUAAGAAAAAUCUACAGAAACCUCUCAAAACCUCCCCAUGCCUUCCGACGGUUGAGUUUCACACCGCCGUUUAUCCGUCCAUCGUACCGCCACUAUACCGGCGGCCAACGAAGCGACAAAGGGGCUUUCAGAGCCUAGCCUUCGGGCGAUUUGAAAAGCCGGGUCUUUGAACACCCACGAGCGCCGAGACUGAGGCUCGUAGCUCCCCCCUUUCAGAUCCGGGCCAGCGAUGGAGAACCACACACCGACGGCGCAGUUGUGAGGUAUCUCCGGUAAGCCCUUUUUCUCUACUUUGUUUUCGUUAAAAAAUAUGUAUAUAUAAAAUAGAGUAAAACAAAAUAAAAUAACAGGUCUAGAGAAGAAAAAACUUAGUUUUCUUUUUAUUUCUAAAGUUUGUUAAAUUGCCCCAGAGCCCCCAUUACAAUGCUUUUGUUCAGCCUAUAUAGCAAACUUUUACCACCCCUAAACUUCUAUUUUUGUCGUUUUAUGCUUUGGAUCCUUGUACUGUUGCGUGUGGCUUCGUUUUGCAGGUGUCAGAGGCGUGGAGGAAUGUCAGACGCGUGGGGCGUGGUGGCCAAGGCUGAGGGGCAUGGUGGCCGACAUGGUGGCGGAUGAGGAGCGUGGCAGACGAGGGGGGCCACGCAUGGAAGCUUGCGACGGCUAGCUUGGGGAAGCAAACUAAGGUUCGCUGAAAAUGGGGUUAAUCUUGGGCUAGGGUUAUGUUUGUUUUGGGUUUAGGGUUAAUUUUGGGUAGUUUGGGCCAUAUGAAAUUUGGGCUGCAAUUUAGACUUUAUUUCAUGUAUUUGGUUUAUGUUUUAUUUUUAUUUCGUUUUUUGUUUUGGCUCUGGGCCCGGGCAAAAUGGGCUCGUACAGCAUAUAUUAAUAAGUGUAUAUAUAUAUAUAUGAUGUUGAAAUAAUUUUAUGAAUCACAUAUAUAUUCGUAAUUAAUAUGCUAAUAAAUAAAUCAUUAGAAUCAAUAUGUAACUGGUAAGAAAAAAAGAUAUUUUUUUAUUUUAAUUAGACUUAAAUUUUAUACGAGA